UCUUCUCCAAAAGUAAGUGGGGUACCUGUCUAACGUUGACCUGAGAAUACAAGCGGUUUGAAAAUAUAUCAGCAUAAAGCGGGUGAGUUCUUAAGCAUGUUUUAAGUAAUGGAAAACUGGUUACUAAAUCUUGUGAAAAUACUUCAUUUUCAUUAGUAAAGAAUACAUUUAGUAUCGAAAUCCAUUGUCAUUGAGUUAUGAAAUAGAUAUGCAUGUUUUCCAAGAAAAUCCCACAUUUUCUUACAUGUUGGUUGGUUUCUUUAUGAAAAGUACGUUCCGAUUGGACAACCCUGGUCACCACCAGUAAGUAUAGUAGUUUUAUUAUUACUUAUAAUAAAACCAUAAGUUAUGUUUCUGGAAUACCCUUCAAUACGUAGGUAGGUAGUUUUAUUACAUAAAUAAAACUAUAGAAGAAAGAAAUCCGUAAACAAGGUUAGUUUAAUACAUAUUGUGAGUCGUAUAACCAUACUAAUUCGACAUGUGACCUCCUUGACAUUCCUCAGGCGUCGUUCGAUUACAAAAUUUGUCACCCCAGGCGUGCCCGCCUAACUGUAGCUAGCAGUUUAGGUGUGGGAUUGUCGGUCCCGAAUAGAUAUAUUCACAAAUUUUACGCUCUCCCUCCAGGAGAAUCUGGUUAUACUACCGAAGAGGAUUUAAUGGUACCCCGAAGGGCAUAACGAAGAUAAGUCUCACAAGCUAGUAUUAACUAAUUUAAGAAAUAUUUAGUUGUUAUCGAGUUUUGAAAUCGUUUAGACAAAGUAGAGUAUAAAUAAUUAAACACAAGGUAAUUAUUUAGCAUGAUACUCUAGAAUAUUAAUGGAUAGACUAAAUCUGACAUAGUUUAUAUAUUUGACUUUGCAUGAAAUUAGAAUCUGUAAAACAAGUAAUGAAGAUCCCAAAUUAUUCCCAUAAUAAUUUGAAAGGUUUGUUAAGUUCCCACGCUAUUUUGAAAACUAUGUAAUUAUAUUUAGAAAGCGUCCCUUAUGCUCCGCAUAUUACAAAAGGGAUAAAGGUAUCUAACAGUUUGAUAGAAAAUCAUUAUAAUUACAUCAGUUUUUAAGUUAUGAAAUCCUUUAUGAUUUACUUGUAUUCCCCCGUGAAAACAUGAAAAACUCGGAAAAAUGUAGGGUAUGAACUCACCUGCAGUGACUAGAAUGGAUGGAAGUGCCGAGUAGGAUGCUAGGUGUCAAUUGAGGUCUUAAACACACGCGAGGAUCCUAUGUAACAUGUAGUGAUACAUAAUUGUAUCUAAUUAGUUAUUUAAUCACUAAUUAAGUAAAUACACUCUAAUGCAUGAAAACACUUUAUUUCAAGUGUUAGGAGUGAUACGGGAUGCAUCUAAGGAGUGUAUGGUCUCACUAUGGAGUUUACUCCUCAAAUGGGGUCCUUGGGGGUGUAUACGGUUGAAGGACCAUAUCCCCCAUGAUUUUACGGCCGUAAACACAUGGGAAUGUUGGGUUUGGGUGCUCAAAGGUCUUAAACUAUUCAAGGACUUAUGCUAGACUCGAAUCAAGGGCUAUGGAAGUGAUUGGGGCUUGAAAGGGCCCUUAUUUGGAGUUUACGGUUUUUGAAUCCCUCCUUGGGGAGUUUACUACCAUAAACACAUGAGUUUACGUCCGUAAACUCAUGUUUGUCACUUUCUUUCAUGGUUUGGUGCUUCUAGGGUAAGCAUGCAAGGUUCUAGCCACUCAUACAAGUCAUAGAAGGUGUUAAGGGCAUUUUAACACCCUUAGAAGGUGUUUACGGUUUUGGGAGAUUCCCCAACCGUAAACUCAUGUUUACUCCUAUCAUUUCAUGUUUUGGGGUUCUUAGAUCAUUCAUGCAAGUUUCUUGGUCAUUAGCCAAGCAUUGGAAGGGUUUUGGGGCAUCAAACCCCCCCUUUUAGGGUGUUUACGGUUUUGGUAUGUUCCCAAACCAUAAACUCAUGUUCUUGGGGGGUUUUUGAGAGUUUAAACCAUGGAUUUGCAAGUAUACUAAGCUAAAAAACAAGGUUGGAGGGUUUACUUACUGUUGUGAAGCUUGAAGGGGCGUUUCUCGAUCGAAACCCGAUUUGUAGAGAGAGAGAGAGUAGAGAGAGAAAGUUCCUAGGGUGUGAAAAAGAUUGAAAUGAACACCACUCAACCCUUAUAUAUGGUUGAGUUUACGGCCAGGGUGGGGGUCCACCCAACAUCAACCGCAAACGGGGUUUUUCGCGUGAUUUUUUGUUUUCCGACACGUAUGAAAUUACGACAAUAACCCUAAUUGAUUUACUUAACUUAAGAAGUUAACGGAAAAACUUUCAAUAAAAAUAAAUUUUUAUUAACGGAGGUGGGUUACAAUGACAAAAUAAAUUUCGGGUUGUCACAUCAUCCCCUCGUUAGAGGAAAUUUCGUCCCGAAAUUUUGGAAUUAAUAUACGAAUCACAGAUUUAUAAAGAGAUGCGGAUAUUUCUGUCUCAUUGAAUCUUCGCGCUCCCAAGUGAAUUCAGGUCCCCGCUUGGCAUUCCAGCGAACCUUCACUAUCGGGAUGCGGCUUUGCUUUGUACAUUUGAUCUCCAAAUCCAUGAUUUCGUUUGGGUCUUCCACGAAGUUGAGGUUCUCGUUAAUUUCGAUCUCAUCAAGAGGGGUCACAAGGGUUUCAUCGGAUAGGCACUUUUUAAGAUUAGAGACGUGGAAUAUAGGAUGGAUGUUGCUAAGCUCUUGGGGUAAUCGGAGUUUGUAUGCUACUAGACCGAUCCUAGCAAGGAUCUCAAAGGGUCCAAUGUAUCCUUGGGUUUAAUUUCCCGUGCUUCCCAAAGCGUAUCAUGCCUUUCCAGGGCGAGACCUUCAACAGGACACGAUCUCCAACCUGGAAUUCAAAGGGUUUUCGUCGUUUAUUAGUGUAACACUUUUGUCUGUCUCUAGAGGCUUUCAAUCGUUCUCGAAUUUGGAUGAUUUUCUCGGUAGUCUGAUGAUUUCAGGACCAGUGAGAGUACUAUCGGGGACUUGACCCUUGGCUAGCUGCGUGUCCCCUACCUCGGCCCAGCACAAAGGGGAUCUGCACUUGCAACCGUAGAGGGCUUCGAACAGGGCAGCCUUGAUACUGGUGUGGUAAUUGUUGUUAUAAGAAAACUCGACCAAGGGUAAAUGAUUGUCCCACGACUUGCCGAAAUCGAUGACACAUGCUCUCAACAUGUCUUCCAAGGUCUGGAUAGUUCUCUCACUCUGCCCAUCUGUCUGAGGAUGAUAAGCCGUACUCAUGUCUAGCUUAAUUCCAACAGCCUUUUGUAGAGACUGCCAAAAUCUCGAGGUAAACCUUCUAUCUCGAACGGAGAUAAUGGACACAGGCACACCGUGCGGUCGGACUAUCUCUUGAAUGUAGAUUCGCGUGAGCCUUUCCAUCUUGAACGUUUCUUUAAUCAGUAGGAAGUGGGCGGAUUUUGUCAAUCGAUCGACAAUUACCCAAAUGGUAUCGUACCCACUCGGAGAUUUGGGUAAUUUGGUAAUGAAAUCCAUAGAAAUCAUUUCCCACUUCCACUCAGGUAUCUCAGGUUGCUAGAGCAGACUUGGGGGUUUUUGAUAUUCGACCUUCACCUUGGUGCAAGUCAGACACUUACCCACGAAGGUAGCGAUUUCGGAUUUCAUGUUUGGCCACCAAUAUAGUUUCUUGAGAUCCAGGUACAUCUUAUCAGAACCUGGGUGCACGGAGUAUCUAGUCUUGUGAGCUUCGUUCAUGACAACCUCCCUAAAACCUCCGAACUUUGGGGUCCAGAUCCGAUCCAUGAAAUAAUAGACUCUGUCUGUUAUGAUCUCAAGAUUCUUCUCCAUUCCCCUCAAGGCUUCAUUCGACACGUUCUCUGGUUUUAGGGCUUCCAACUGAGCCUCUCGGAUUUGUGCGCAUAAGUGGGAAUGGAUGGUCAUUGUUAGUGUCUUCACCUUACGGCCUAAGCUUUGUUUUCGGCUAAGGGCAUCUGCCACUACAUUGGCCUUGCCGGGAUGGUAGCGGAUUUCGCACUCAUAGUCACUGAGCAGUUCUACCCAUCGCCUUUGUCUCAUGUUUAAGUCUUUUUGAUCGAAGAUGUGUUGUAGGGUUUUAUGGUCGGUGAAAAUUGUGCACUUGGUCCUGUAGAGAUAUUGUCUCCAAAUUUUUAGUGCGUAGACCACUGCUCCCAACUCCAGGUCGUGAGUUGUAUAGUUGAUCUUGUGUUCCUUCAGCUGUCUUGAGGCAUAAGCAAUAACUUUUCCUCACUGCAUGAGCACGCAACCUAAGCCCUGACUGGAUGCAUCGUAGUAGACAAUGAAGUCCUCCAUCCCUUCGGGUAGAGAUAGGAUAGGUUCACUGCACAAGGCUCGCUUCAAGGUUUGGAAGGCAGUGUCUUGCUUUUCACCCCAACAGAAGGGUACACCUUUAUGUGUCAGAGUGGUUAGGGGUUUGGCAAUCUUGGAGAAAUUCUGAAUAAACCUACGAUAGUAGCCAACAAGACCCAUGAAUUGACGGAUUUCUUUGGGUAUCUUUGGUGCCGACCAAUUCUCUAUCGCUUUGAUUUUGGUCGGGUCCACGUGUAUGCCCUCCUUGCUUACCACGUUACCUAUGAAGGUUACUUUUCGAAUCCAGAAUUCUCACUUGGAGAAUUUCACGUACAACUUCUCCGAUCUAAGCGUUUCCAGUACUAAUCUAAAAUGUUGUUUGUGAUCUUCCUCGCUUCUGGAAUAGAAAAGUAUAUCGUCAAUGAACACGAUAACGAACUUGUCCAAAAAUGAACGACACACCCGGUUCAUCAGGUCCAUGAACACUACCGGUGCGUUGGUUAGACCAAAGGGAAUCACUACGAACUCGUAGUGACCAUAUCGAGUCCUGAAUGCUAUUUUGGAAACAUCACUCUCAUGAACUCGUAACUGAUGGUACCCUGAUCUAAGGUCUGUUUUUGAGAAGUAACUGGCUCCCUGAAGUUGAUCGAAAAGGUCGUCUAUUCGAGGAAGAGGAUAACGGUUUUUGACGAUCAACUUGUUCAAUUCACGGUAGUUUAUACACAUCCGAAAGGAUCCAUCUUUCUUCUUCACAAAUAAUACUGGGGCUCCCUAGGGUGAGGAACUCGGUCUGAGAAAUCCUUUGCUGAGUAGCUCAUUAUGCUGACUGGAUAACUCCUUCAUUUCUGCUGGCGCUAAACGAUAUGGCGCCUUAGCUACGGGGGUAGCUCCGGGGAUUAGGUCGAUGCGAAACUCGACUUGGCGUUCGGGAGGAAUUCCCGGUAGCUCUUCGGGAAAGACAUCAGGAAAGUUGCAGACUUCGGGGAUGCUCUCGAGGUCUUUAACUUCCUGUUUAUCGUUAAUCACAUGAGCUAGGAAUGCAAUGCAAUCCUUUCGUAGAAGUUUUUGGGCUUUGAUGCAUGAAAUGAUGUGAACAUUGGAACUAAGUUUAUCACCAUAGAUCAUGAGGGUUUCGCCGGAGGGAAGAUUGAGACGGAUAUCUUUUUCAUAACAAAUGAUAUCAGCAUGAUUGGGGCUCAACCAAUCCAUGCCAAUGAUAACAUCGAAGCUUUUUAUAGAGACUGGCAUAAGGUCGAUAGGAAAAGAAUGAUCGUUGAGACUAAGGGUGCAGCCUAUGAAUAUAUUGUUAGCGUUUUAUUUCUCACCGUUAGCCAUCUUGACGAUAAAUGUUUCGGUUAGCGGUUAAGGAUUAUGUUUAAGGAGAUGCUUGAAUGUAUGGCUAACAAAACUUCUUUCCGCACCAGAAUCGAAAAGGAUGCAUGCAUAAGAGUUGUCGAGAAGGAACGUACUCAUGACAAUGGUGAGAUCGGCGACAGCCUCCUCUUGCCCCAUUGCUAGAACUCUCCUAGUGUUGCCAGUUGUUGUUGCCUUGGGGCAGUUUCUCUUGUAAUGCCCGACCUCACCACAACCGUAACAGGCUUGACCGACACCUGCUCCGGAAGCUUGACUGGUUGGUUGGGCUGGUGUUCUGCAGUUUCGAGCAGUGUGGCCCUUUUUGCCACAGUUGUUGCAGAGCAUUUCACGGCAUGGGCUGGAAGUGAGAUAAUGGUAGUGGCGCUUGUCUCACCUAGGGAGGUUACCAGCAUACCUACUGGUAGGUGCUUGAGCUGCAGGAGUGGCGACAGGAGUAGUAGCAGCGUGAACUGCCACAAUUUGUUUCUUUUUAGAGGAUCCUUGCAAACUCUGACCCUUCCACUUGUUCCAGAAUUUCGUUUUAUUCUCACCACUCUCGUUUGUUGGCUUAGAAGUGGUUGUUACUUUAUCCAGGUCGACCUCGUGAACUAUGAGAGUCUGUGCUAGGCACUUGGCACUGUCAAAAGUGGUUGGCUUGGCAUACAAGACAUUCUCUUGGGUUGGGGGCGUCAAUCCCCAAAUAAACCUCUCAAUCUUUUUACUUUCCGGGUUGACCAUCCCCAGGAAGAGGAGGGCUAGGUCUUCAAACCUAGAAGUGUAGGCAGCGAUAUCAGAACCCUUCAUCUUUAGGUUCCAGAGUUCGUACUCCGGUUUCUGCAAUUCGCCCCACGGGCAGUACUCAGCAAGCAUGAGCUCUUUCAAGCUCUCCCAACCCAUAGCAUUGGCUACUGGCAGGGUUAGGGAUUUGACUCGGCCAUUCAACCAAGUCAAUGCUUUAUGGAUGAAAGUACAGGCGGCGAAUUUCACCUUGUUGGCUUCAGAACAAGAAUAGAUUUCGAAGAUAGACUCGAUCUUCUCGAACCAUCGAGUCAGGUCGAUAACACCUCCAGUGCCAUCAAAAUAUGUGGGUUUCGCAUUCAUGAAAUCUUUGUAGGAACACUCAUUCUGGUGUCCCUGACCACCUUCUGGCCCGCCAAAGCCGUCGAGGUUCAUUUGUGACAUUGCAACAGCCACUGCGGCAGUAACGGCUGCCUGAAACAUGAUAUGAUCAAACUGGGGAGGAGGAUUGUUGUUAUUUGAGCUGGGUCUUUUUCUUGGAGGCAUCUUGAUCUAAAAUGAUCAAAAAGGAGAGGAUGGUAAGUCCUCUGGAUUUGAAUCAAGAGAUAUGAAGCAAGAGGUAUUACAUCAUGAUAGAUAGAGUGUUCUACAAUGCGAAAAUAAAUAGGAAAAACUACCAAUGUAAGAGAAUUAUCGCUAAAGUAAAUGAGUAGUAACACUUGUAUGUGAACCUUUACAACGAAUUUGGCUCUUGAAAAUACUCCUAUAGUAUUUUAUGUUUUGUUGGGACGAUGGCUUGUUGUAUGAAUAUUUGGUAAGUUUUAGGGCCUGUUGUACACCACAGUCACUCCCGAACACAUGUUGUCCAUAUCUCGAAUGAAUAUAGUUGAUCAGGCUAUAUUAACCCUAGACAUGACUACAUAAUUGCCCAAGUUUAACCGCAGUGCCCAACACCUUUUUACUUUUGUUCUGUUCUACUCACGAUUCCCGUUUCUGGUAUAUAGGUAUUUUUGUAUACUUUUUGUAAAAUACUUGUAUUUUAAAGUAUACUUUUAGUUUCAGAGCGCUUCGGCCCUUUAGUGUUUAUAGUUGUAUACCAUGUAAAGUUUGGUAUACUUAGUUCACUAUAAACAAAAGCUCUGAUACCAAUCUGUCACACCUCCGAACCGUCAGGAAAAUAAUGGCGGAAACGUCCGGGGGUGGGAGACGUUAUUUAAAGUAUCACAACCAUUGUACAUAGUAAGCAUAGUAAACACAACCAUUACAAUACAUAAGAGUAUUUACAUUUGUUUGAAAGUAAAGAAAACAUAUAUUAAGUACAUUAGUAUAUGCAAAAAGUAAAGACAAAACUUCUAUAUGCUCCGUCUUCUCCAAAAGUAAGCGGGGUACCUGUCUAACGUUGACCUGAGAAUACAAGCGGUUUGAAAAUAUAUCAGCAUCAAGCUGGUGAGUUCAUAAGCAUGUUUUAAGUAAUGAAAAACUGGUUACUAAAUCUUGUGAAAAUACUUCAUUUUCAUUAGUAAAGAAUACAUUUAGUAUCGAAAUCCAUUGUCAUUGAGUUAUGAAAUACAUAUGCAUGUCUUCCAAGAAAAUCCCACAUUUUCUUACAUGUUGGUUGGUUUCUUUAUGAAAAGUACGUUCCGAUUGGACAAACCUGGUCACCGCCAGUAAGUAUAGUAGUUUUAUUAUUACUUAUAAUAAAACCAUAAGUUAUGUUUCUGGAAUACCCUCCAACUGACAAACCGAAGUUCGUUCCGUCGUCGUAACCCGUUUCGUCUUUUAAAAAUUCUUCGUCUUGAAUUGUUUUCGUUCGUCUCAAAAAUUAAGUCAUUUAUUUGAGUUUGUUAUUAUGACUUAAUUGUCCAAACGCAUUAGAAACUCGUGGAAACGUCCCAAAAUUUUAUUUGGAAAAAUUUUAGUUUUAUUCCGUCAAGUUAUAAAAUAAUUAAAUCGGGUACGACCAAAAGCCUCGCUUAUCAGUAGUAUCGGGUAGAAUUCCACCGUGUCCCAAACUUUGAGCAUAUAUAAAGUUGAGAGAGUCUCAUUUGAAGCCUUUCCACUCUCUCUCUACUCUCUCUACUUUCUCUCCCUAAAAACUCGAAAUCAAGCCAAAAUCAUCCAAAACAAGCUCCAAAUCAUUAAGGUAACUAGCCUAACUCUUAGUAUAACAUCUUUAGCCUUCAAUUUCAAGUUCAAAUCAUGAUUUAGGACCAUAAACAUGUGUUUACGGCCCUGGAACAUUCUUGGGCCGUGAACACAUAAAAGUGGGGUUUUUGAGCCUUAAAACCCUUCCAAUCGACCUCUGGAGCUAAGAUCUGGCUAGAUGGCUUAAUGGAACGAACUUAGAACACCUUAAACUUUACUUUUGAGGAGUAAACAUGAGUUUACUGCCCAAGAACAUGUUUGGGCCGUAAAAUCAUUAUCAUGGAGAGUAAACUCAUUUCCAAGUGUUUAAAUGCCACUUAAACACACCAAUAGCCUUGGACUAAAAUCUAGAAGCAACCACACACGAAUUAGAAGCCUAAAACUUGAUGAAAACAACUCCCUAAGGAGUUCACGACCGUAAACCUCCCCAAGGAUGGGUUCCUGGGCCGUAAACUCACAUACACAAGUGAAAUGAUGCCCUAAAUUCAUUCUAAGGCUUGUAAAAUUAGUUUGAAUCACAAAUGAUUAAUCUAGGGCCAUCAAAGCAUGAAAAGAAAGAGUACUUAGGAGCUUACGGCCGUAAACUCCUAGUUCACAGCCGUAAACUCCCAUUGAUGGUCUCUUUGGUGGUUAAAUCCAUUCCUACGCCUUAGAUUAAAUCUUAGCAACAUUUCCCAUGUGAUAUUUAACCAUUUAGCACCUUAAAACCCAUCAACCAUGAGUUCACGGACGUGAACUCAUGUGGUCAUAGUCUUAGGGCCGUAAACUCCCUAAGGAGUUUACUCUUGAAGAACAAACUCAUUUUCUAAGCCCUAUACGUCCGUAGAUGUCACCCGGGUCCCUCCAAACACUUGUAAUGAAGUGCUUUCGCGACUAGAAGUGUAUAUCCCCACCUAAUUAAUAAUUCAAAGCCUAAUUAGAUACUAAUGUGUAUCUUUUCAAAUUACAUAGGAAUCUUGUGCGUUUGCAAGCCCCGAACUGACGUUUAGGAUCCAAACUGACGCGUUCCUCAACCGGUGAGUUCAUACCCCUACCCUUUUUCAAUGUUUUUCAAUGUUUUCAGGGGGGAAUACAAGCAAAAGUACAAGAAUAUCUUGUACUUAAAUUCAUUAUUUCAUUUGAAUGGUUUCAUAAUCCAUACACUUUUAAGAACUGAAAACAUAUUAACAAACUGUUUGACUUACAGAGUUGCUUUUCAAACCGAUUUCAAUUCUUAUUAUAUAGUGUUAUACUUUAUACUUCGCAAUUGAUUGUUCACACAUUUACUGUUAGAAAUCAUAGAACUUUUGUGUUGUCCUUAAUAAACCACCCCUAGAUACGAGUGUGAAGGAAAGGUAUCAUUAGAACUUAGUCAGUCUUAGUUAGUACUCCCCUAGAUACGAGAGUAAAGAGUAAUCUUAAGAUUGGAGACACGUCCUUUGUAACACUUCCCCUUGACACGAGAGUGGAGGACUAUCCCUGUAACCAGAAUCUCCAGAAGGGAGAGCGUGACUUGAGUGUAUAGAUCUAUACGGGACUGAUUAUCCCGCACCUGGCUGCUAGCUACAGCCGAACCGAAAGGUUCAAGGGUGACAAAAGUCAUAAAAAGAUAUUGGCCCCGAUCCGAGUCAUAUCUAGUCUGAAGUAUGGUUAAGGAACUCGCAAUCAAGAUUACGAAAGCUUUAAACUUAUUUAAUAGUUUUAUAUACGUGUUAAAACUAAUGUACAUUUAAAGGCAAUCAAACUUUCAGGAAACUUCACACACACACUUUAAGUACGGUAGAUACUUGUAUGUUACUUUCAGAUUCGAUAACACUUCACAAACAUUUUAGGAAAAUAAGGGUUUUUCCUAGGAUAACUGAACUUGUUCUUAAUCAGAGUGUGUAAAAGUCAGAUAACAAACUGUUGUUAAUCAAACUAGGUAACAAACGGAUAACUAAACUUUACUUUUAAGAAAAUAUGAGAUUUUCUUGGGUUCGUAAUUUUUUCAGAAAACCGAAGGGAAACUUGUUCACUUUUCACAAAACAAAAUCACUUAUGAACUCACCAGCUUUAUGCUGAUUUUCAAACUGCUUGUAUUCUCAGGACCACAUUAGACAGGUACCCAGCGACCCCUUUUGGCGAAGAUGGAGUGCAUAGAAGACACAUCUGUAUUUUUGUUCAUAUGAUAUAUAUGUAUCACACUAGUAACAUUUUGAUUUCAAACAAAUGUAAUAACUAUAUGUAAUGUAUUGCUUUGUGUUUACUAUGCUUACUAUGUACACUGGUUGCGAUAUUCAUGAUGUCCUCCACCCCGGAACAUUUCCGCCUCCGGUUUCGGGUGUGACAGAUUGGUAUCAGAGACCUUGUUUAUAGUGAACUAGUAUACCAAACCUUACAUGGUAUAUGACUAUAAACACUAAGGGGCCUAAGUGCUCUGAACUAAAAGUAUACCUUAAAAUAUAAGUAUUUUCAAAAAGUAUAUAAGUGUACCUAACCAUCGAGAUCCAUAACUACAAGUAGAACAAAACAUAAGUAAAUGGUUGUUGUACGUUGCGGUUAAACCUGGGCAGUUAUGUAGUCGUUUCUGGGAUCAAUAUAGCCUGGCCAACUAUAUUCAUUCGAGACACGGCCAACAUGUGCUUGGGAGUGACGGUGGUAUGCAUCAUGCCUAAAACUUACCCAAUACCAAAACUACGAGUCGUCGCUGCAACGAAACAUGAAAUACUAUGGGAGUAUUUCUCAAGCCAAAUCCGUUAUAGAAAUUCUCAUUUCAGUGUUGUUCCUCAAUCAUUCCUUUAGCGAUAGUUUGUCUGCUUUGAUAACUCUUUCCUGCUUAUUCGCUUAAUGGAAUUCUAUAUCUGUCGUAAUGAGAUAUCCCUUGUAUUAUAUCUCUUGCUUCAAUUCAGAGGACUUAUGAUCCUCUCUUUCCUGGUUAUUCUAGAUCAAGAUGCCUCCUAGGAAAAGACCCAUCUCAAAUAAUAACAACCCUCCGCCACCACCACCUCCUCCCUAAUUUGGUCCUGUAGUAUUCCAGGCAGCUUUACUGCCGCNCAUGUCUCAAAGGAACCCCAGUGGUUCAGAAGGUGGUCCCCAACCCCAAAACCAAGAAGGCAGUCAGAGACACCGAAAAGAGGGUUCCUAUAAAGAUUUCAUGAACGCAAAACCCACGUCCUUUGAUGGCACUGGAGGUGUCAUUUCCCUCACCCAAUGGUUCGAGAUAAUCGAAUCUAUCUUUGAAAUUUGUGCCUGUUCAGAAUCUGAUAAGGUGAAGUUCGCCGCCUGCACCUUCAUCGACAAAGCCCUGACUUAGUGGAACGGCCGAGUCAAAUCCCUAACUUUACCUGUGUAGGGUCCACUAUGUGUUGCGUCUUGGGCUCGCUCCAUAGUCCAAUUUUGUAUCCGGAUUGGGCUUGUCCUUCCGUGAUUUAUUAAUUAGGGUUUAGUAUUAAUAGAUGCUUGCAUGCAUCUUUGUACGAAGCUUUUCAGUCGAUCAUUCACAGCGAUUAUAGUUUUAUCGAUUGUAACCCUAAAAGCCUCUACAGUGGAAGUUCUUUAGCGAGCUCUGCUGAGGCGUGAAUCUAUUGAAUCAUUCAAAAUAUAUUUUUGAUUCAUUCUCUUGUUUGUUAUUCUGUUUGCAUUAUUCUGAUUAACCUAUGUGAGAUCUAAACGAUCAAAGAGUUUUUCAACUCAGCAAUUGGUAUCAGAGCAGGAGACUGUGUAAUUCAUACACAUCUCCUCUGUGAAAGAAGUGAUUAGGGUCAAUUCCGUAUUCAUUGAUACUUAUUGAGCCGUCACUCCAUAAUUGACGUAUCUCAUUAAUUAUUCGUCUUGCCCUAAUAUUACGUAUUACAAAGUUUGAUCUUACAACAGGUUAAACGAUCAAGCAUGGACGAUUCUCAAUCCAAUCCGAUUAACAUCUCUAACAGCAUCGGAUCAAGAACCAAGAUCCCAAUCCUCUACACUCAAGACUAUGAAGUGUGGACGCACCACUUUGAAGAUUAAGUUAUUGGAUCGGAAGAUAACGGGUAUCUGAUAUGGGAAGCUAUCACAGUUGGCCCCUUCGCUCACUCAAGCACUUCAAAAAUCAUUAAAACUCAGAAGGAGUAUAAUGAUCUAUUAAAAGAUGUGAAGGAUGUCGCUCAGGACGAAAAGGAGAAGUUCCAAUGCAACAUUAAGGCAUUGAGACUAAUUCGAUUUGCCCUUCAAUCCGACACAUUUCGAUUAGUGAGUUCUUGUGGUACAGCAAAGGAAAUCUGGGAUCGGCUGCGAGAGCUGUAUUCCACAGAUGAAGAUCUGGAGCACUCGAUUCAGACCCUACUUUUCUCUGAAUUUGGAGAGUUCAAGCAAAAGCCAGAGGAGGUUGUUACGCAAACAUUCGAUCGGUUCAAUCAUCUUCACAGUAAGAUGAUCAAACAUGAUAUAGAAAGAAAGCUUAUCGAACAGAAGGUCACUUUCUUAAAUGGUCUAAGAGCCGAAUGGAGGGUGGUUGUGUCGACGAUUAAAGCGCAUGAGCAGUUCAAAUCAUAUUCUUUGGCGAAACUGGUGGGGAUUCUAAAAUCCCAGGAAAAGAUUGUGCUACAAGAGAAAAGUGUGGUUUCAAACUUGGGGUCUUUCGCCCUUCUGUCUAAAAGUAAGAAUGCAGCAGAAGAGGAAGAAUAUCUGAAUCUGGGAGACUACGAUCUGACAUCUGAAGACUAUGCAAUGAUGGUGUCAAAUCCCAGGAGGUUCAUCAAGAAGAAGUUCCCUACCAACAAGAACCGAAAUUGGCAGGGAAGCUACAGCUCUGAAAAAGUGAAAGAGGAGCCGAAGGUUGAAGAACCAAAGAAAGAAGCGAAAGGUCAAGCUGAUUCUGGUGUCAACUGUUUUUACUGUGGAGGGAAAAAUCACUACGCAAAAGAUUGCGUGUUGAAGAAAAUGGCAGAGAAAGAUGAGGAGAAGGAUGAAGAAGCAAGUCUCCUGAAAAGACUGGAGGAAAUUAAUAGGAAGAAAGCUACUACUAAUCUCUCUAUGAAUGCUCUUGUUGUACAGGAUUCGGUAGAUAAUGAUGAGUUCGGUGGUGUACAGGUGUCGUCAACCGACUCAGAAGAUGAUGAAGUGAGAAAGCCUACUCAUGGAAAGGCUUAUGUGGCGAAGAGUGGUGAUGCUGGUGGAAGAUGUUUGAUGGUGACAGAUGUAUCCCAGAUGAGGGGAUACAACACUGAUGGUGGAAACGAAGUGGCUAAGGAGCGAGAGGACGUGUGCUUUGCAGCGAAGCCUCUCAGUGUGCAGAUCAGUGAACUAGAUGAACUGAUCAAGAAGGUACUAUCCAUUUUUGUUUCGUUUAAAAUUCCACAUACAUCAAAUGAAAAGAAUUAAAUAACUUGAAUUCAAGAAUUUCAAAUAUGGAUAGUUGUUUAACUCAAACACGUGUCACGAAUUCUAAUACGACUGACCAAAUAAGCAGGGUAUCAUCCAAGAGUGAGGAGCGAAGAAUAUGGAUUGAGCAGAAGGAGUUGGAGCUGGUUAAGUCUAGGGAUGAAAAUAUCUAUUUGCAAAGAGAUAAUCUUAAGUUGUGAAAACAGAGAAAUGUUUUUUGUUUGAUUGCAAAAAGACUUUAUACUAACAUUACUCAACUACAUUUAGACUGUGAAAUAGGUCAGAAGAUAAAUCGCAUGAUUUUACCCUUCCUUGAGCUAAAGGAGGAUGAAAUUGAUGCUGAAGCAUACAACUGUGAAAGUGUUGUAUCUUCAGAUGAUGUAAAUCCCACGUAUAUGUUUGGUCUGGACAAAAUUGAAUCAUUUAUAAAGUCCAAAGACCAUAAGGACAUGCUUAAGAAUCUUUUGGAUGAAAAUGAUAGGUUGAAACUCAGAGCCGAAACUAUACAAAAAUUUGACUCAUUGAGUACCAAAUUAAGUUCGGAAAAUAAAAUUGAUGUUGAAAAUGCAUCUGAACUUAAUGAGGACGAUGACAUGAGUGAAAUCACUGUAGAAGAUGAGGUUGACUGUUCAGAGUUUAUUAGGAGCGAACCUGAAAACCAUAAAAACUUGAUUUCUAAAAAUUUUGUGGAAUUCGCUCGUCUAUCCAAAAAUAAGUCCCCAAUCCUUAAAGAAAAGGCCGUUGUAUACCAAAAGGUAAGAACCACUCCCAAUUAGGUUUAUAAGGUCACAGGAGUAACCGAACAUCAGACAACCAAACUCACUGCAAUGGUGAAUGAAGAUAAUGCAGAUGGCUGUGAUGAGUUUUUCUGGUCUGCACCGAUAGACAACGCAGAUGAAACAGUUGGUCUAUCGGAGUGAACAUCAUGGAAGGUCAAAGGUAGAUAUGUGGCAGAACCACUCAAUAAACCUACCAACUUUGGCGUGCCCAGUUCCUGUGGCACAAAAGAGGUUCCGGUAUAAUGCGUCUCUUCAACAAGCGAAACCUCUUAAAUGGAAAGUGAACCAGUUGUUCAGAAGCCGAAACAAAAGGAAAAUAUUCACAGGCAACCGAAACAGGUGAAAAAUCAAAAGCAGCAGAGAAAUCUGAGAUAUAAGAAAAAUCUCUCAGAGCGAAAGCAAUUCUCGUGCUCCCAAAAUCCUCACUAUAGUCACUUUGAUAGAAACUCCAAGACAAAAGGAGAAGAAAAUAAGAGUAAAAGGAGCUUAGGUCCAUUGGAUCAAAAGAAUCAGAGGAAGACUUUCAGGCCAUAGAAAGAACAAAACCAGAAAGAUAAGUUCGGUCCCGAAAGUAACGACAACCAAAAGCCUAGUUUCGGUCCACCAAACAACAAUAGACAAAGACCAGAGUUCAGUUCAUCAAGCUUUUACAGCAGAAGACUAGUUUCGGUCCAACAACCCACAACAACCGAAAAACUAGUUUCAGUCCAUCAACAAAUGGCAACCGAAGGUCCAGGUUCGGUCCCUCAAAUGAUCACAACCGAAAGGAUCAUUUCGAACCUCAAGUCAGGAAAGAUUCUCAUUCUAAUCUCUAUUCCUCUAAUUCUUCUCGUUCUCAUUCUUUUUCUAAGCCUAAUUCUCGUCCUACACCAAACUCACAAUCGACGAAGGAUUUGAAAGGAAAAAGUAAGAUUUCCUCAGCAAAUGAAGAUCGAAAGCAAGCUAAAGUCCAAACUCCUGAACCUAAAUCCAAAACACUUGAAUCUAACUCCAAUAAAAUCAAAGUGUUUACUAUUAACAGGAAAGAUGAAACAACCUUAAUAAAACGAACUUAUCUUGUUGAUGUUUCUCUUACUAUUCCUGUUUCUGUAAAAGACUCAUGAGGACCCAAGAAACUUUGGGUUCCUAAAUCUGCUUAAUUUUUGCAGGUUAUAAGUGACGAGCAGUUCGACGAAGAAUGGUACAUAGACAGUGGCUGCUCACGUCAUAUGACAGGAAGGAAGGAAGAGUUAAGGGAGUUUUGGUCCCUUCAAAACGGUGGUAACGUCAAGUUUAGUAACAACUCCUUUGGAACAAUAAAAGGUUAUGGAAUGAUAACCAAUGGAGACUUUACAAUCAGGAAGGUAGCUUAUGUAGAGGGGUUGCAACAUAACCUCAUCAGUGUGUCUCAACUGGUGGGAGGUACAAGAAGUCUCAAAGUAUCGUUCGAUGACGAAGGUUCAGAGAUAAUAGAGAAGAAAUCCAACAAAGUCAUUCUCAAGUCAGAACGAAAAGGUGAAAUGUUCCCUCUGAAUCUCAAACCAAUCAAAGGGAAUCCAACCAUUUGUCUAUUGUCCAAAGUCCAUUCAGAAGAAAGUUGGUUGUGGCACACAAGGCUCUCACACCUCAACUUCAAAGACAUCAACAAGCUAGUCACUGGUGGUCAAGUUUGGGGACUUCCACUACUUAAGUUCGAUCGAGAACACUUAUGUGCUGCAUAUGAAAUGGGGAAACAAAGUCGCCAAAGUCACCCAACAAUCAUAAACACCAAAGUUGUCGAACCACUUGAGUUGCUUCAAAUCGACUAAUGUGGUCCAUCAUGAAUCGAGAGCAUUGGCGGUAACAAGUACAUCCUUGUUAUUGUUGAUGACUUCUCACGAUUUACUUGGGUAUUCUUUCUAAAGCACAAAUCUGAGGCGACUCCCAAACUGAAGAUCUUUAUUAAGCAGGUCGAAGUGCAACUGAGAAUAGUCGUUCGAAACAUCAGGAGCGACAAUGGGCUGGAAUUCAAGAACAAAGAAUUCGAAGAUUUCUUAGCAGAAAAAGGCACCAGUCACAAUUUCUCAACCCCCUAUACACCUCAACAGAACGGAAUUGUCGAAAGGCGAAACUGAUCCCUAUGUGAGGCGGCCCGAACCAUGCUGAGUUUUGCCUCCCUUCCUCUAUAUUUCUGGGUAGACGCCAUUGCUGCAGCCUGUUUCACUCAAAACAGAUCUUAUCUCAACAACCGUUUCUCUCUCAGCCCCUAUGAGAUUAUUAACAACAGGAAACUGAAUGUCAAGUUCUUUCAUGUGUUCGUUUCGAGGUGCCUCAUUUUCAAUUCCAAAGAGCAUCGCAACAAAUUUGAUGUCAAAGCCGAUGAAGGCAUCUUUUUGGGAUAUUCUCUUACUUGAAAGGCGUACAGGGUUUUGAAUAAGCGUUCUAAACGAAUUGAAGAAACCUAUUAUGUAACGUUCGAUGAUAAUUACGUCAAGAAGUUGAAGUCUACCGAAGAAGCAAUUGGAUAGAUUUUCUCUCAAACAGGUCAAGUCACAGCCUCAAUCGCCAAUUUCUUUGACCAGUUCAUGGAUUUAUUUGAUGAACCUGAGAAGGCUACUCACUCUGAGGCCACGGCAGCAGACAACAAGAUGGAUCACCUUAAGAAGAUUUUCGAAGACGCAACCAAACAAAUGGGAGAAGACGAACCAGUUCGAAACGAACCUCCUCAAAGCAAUACUUCGGUCGAGGGGGAGAAUCAAUUCUCUUCAGAUCGACAAGACUCACAUUCCCAGGGGGAGGGUCCAUCAUUUUCAAUCGACGAUAAUACUCAUGGCAAGGGGAAGAAUCUAGUCUUUGUCAGAACCGAAAGACCAUCCAAAACCGAAAACCCGAUUGCACCCGAAAGUCCAGAUCAGCCCGAAAGCCCAGUCGAAGAAAGAUUUUUUGGUUCACAUCCAAACGAUUCAUCAUCGGUCGAGGGGGAGAAUUCCAAUAUGCACUAUGAUGAUAAUAAUCAAUCAGAGUUGGAAGAAAUGGUAAANGUUGCGUGAUUCUACUGUGUUAUGAUCCAAAUUAUCCUCCUCUCACCAAAUGGACCAGAGAUCAUCCUGUAUCUCAAAUAGUGGGUGAUGCAUCAAAAAAGGUUCUAACUCGAUCACAGCUGAAGGCGAAGCAAACUGUUCUUUUCUCCAAAGUAGAAUUCUGCAUGUUUAAUUCAUUCAUCUCCAAAAUAGAGCCGAAGACCAUCAAUAUUGCUCUCGAUCAUUCUGAUUGGGUUCAGGCAAUGCAAGACGAACUCAAUGAGUUCGAAAGAAAUAAGGUCUGGAGACUCAUUCCAACACCAAAAGAUGCCUUGGUUGUUGGUCUAAAAUGGGUGUUCAGAAACAAAAUGGACAAGGAGGGAAAUGUGAUCCGAAAUAAGGCUCGGCCAGUAGUGAAAGGAUAUUGCCAGGAAGAAGGAAUCGAUUACGAAGAGACAUUUGCUCCGGUUGCAAGGCUGGAAUCCGUUCGAAUAUUUCUUGCCUAUGCAGCACACAAGAAUUUCGAGGUCUACCAGAUGGAUGUGAAGUGUGCAUUUUUAAAUGGGGAACUUGAAGAAACCGUGUACAUAGAGCAAACUCUUGGUUUUGUAAAUGAAAAACAUCCAAAUCACUGCUACAUCUUGGAUAAGGCAGUUUAUGGUCUGAAACAAGCUCCUAGGGCAUGGUAUAGAUGUCUAAAUUCAAACAAGGUUCGGUUGACCCAACCUUUUUUCGUAAAAAGGAAGGUAACCACCUUAUAAUCGUUCAAAUCUAUGUCAGUGAUAUCAUCUUCGGCUCCACGAAUCCUAGCCUAACAGCUGAAUUCAGAAAGUUGAUGGAGACUAAAUUUGAAAUGAGCUCAAUGGGUCCGAUUAACUUUUUCCUUGGUUUAAAUGUUAGACAGGGACCCGAAGGCAUCUUUAUCAAUCAGGAAGCAUACACUAAGACUCUCCUUGCCAAAUUCGGCAUGAUGGGAGACCCAAAAGUCAAAGUCCCUAUGGCGUUCGGCACCAAGCUCACACCAUGUUUGGAAAAAUCGGCAGUCGACAUAACGCUGUAUCGCCAAAUGAUUGGUUCCCUGAUAUACCUCACAGCUAGCAGGCCCGACAUAAUGUUUGCAGUAUGUUAUUGUGCCAGGUUUCAAGCAAAUCCUUGUGAACCACACAUCUUGGCAGUGAAGAAUAUCUUCCGGUAUUUGAAGCGAACCACCUCUCUCAGUCUCUGGUAUCCCUCAAACUCAGGUUUCUUCGUUCAAGCCUACUCAGAUGCAGACUUAGGAGGAUGUGGUCUAGACCGAAAAAGCACCACAGAAGGCUGCCAAUUCCUAGACGGAAAGUUGGUUAGCUGGCAAUCGAAGAAACAAACAUGUGUUUCUCUAUCUACAGCUGAAGCAGAGUACAUCGCAGCCGCCUCCUGCACAUCACAAGUGAUUUGGAUCCAAAGCCAACUCCGGGAUUAUGGACUCAAUAUGAAAAAGAUCCCACUAUAUUGCGACUCAGAAAGUGUAAUUAGGAUCUGUCAUAACCCAGUGCAACAUUCCAAGACCAAGCAUAUAGCACUGAGGUAUCACUUUAUUAACGAUCAUGUGGAAGAUGGAAACAUCGAAAUUCACUUUGUUCGAACCACUGAUCAACUGGCCGACAUCUUCACCAAAGCCCUUCCUGAAGCAAGUUUCAAUAAAAUCCUACAAGGCCUAGGUAUGAUGGAAUCGGAGUCAGUACCAAAAACACAUUCUCAAAACUAAAAGUUGGAAGCGAAAUGAACCUAACGUUCGGUCUAUUUCGGGAUCGGUUCACACGGGAACCGAAAUGAACCGAACUCUCGGUCUAUUUUGGGUUCGGUCCCACUGCACUUGUUUUCGCUUAUCUCAAAAAGGUGAUAUCUUUGGUUGUAUACUUUUGUACAAUUGUUUUCCAAAAAUCCAAAAAUAAUUUUUUUUUUAAAGGAACCGAAAUGAACCGAGCGUUCGGUCCAUUUCUGGUUCGGUUUAAUUUUUUUUUAGUUUGUUUUGUUUUUCUCUUUACAAAAAUAUCAAAAUUCCAAAAAAAAAUUCUUUCUUUUGUCUCAACUUCUUUUUAUGUUAACAGUCUCUGGAAUAUCGAUGGGGAAGGUAUCAUUCUCACACUUUAUACUAGCUAAGUGUCCCUAGAAGCAUGCUGCUGCAUGUUGUCCAAAGCCUCAACUGAUUCUGAAUAAAGCCUUAAUGACUGGGUAUAUACAAACCUUGUCUUCCCAAUUAGGUUGCUAAAUUUAUUCUAAUCAUGAGCUACCUUACUCUUUUCUCAUAUGAGUUAAGAGUUUUCUGCUUGGUCAUUUCUUUUAUAGCAGAGGUACUUUAGUUUCUUUACAACACCUCAAACACUUUUCUCAAUCAUAUUUCGGUUCAUAAAUGUAACCCUUGAGACUCUCAGAAUUAACUACUAAGGUUUAUGGUUACAUAAUCUCUGUGUUUAUGAUCUUAACUUCGUGUCACUAUGUGCUAAGUGAAACCCAAAAUUCAAUACCCACUAUGCAUUGACGAUGAACAAUUAAAUUUGCUCUAGCUUUCACCCAUGAAUUGACGAAACCACCCAAGUGGUUGUACCCUGAAAUCUCUAUUUUUCUUUUUGUGUGAUUCUUAUGAAAUUGUUACACACCAUAAGAUUUCUUCCCAUAGAAUCCAGUUUUAAAUUGUUUUUGAUAUUUCACACCAAACAUUUCCAACAAGUCACUAAAUAUUGUCCAAACCUACUUGUUCAACAGACCACAUCGGUCUGACAAGUACUUCAUUCGGUUUCUAUCUUAUGUUAAGAUCUGGAAAUCUGAACUGAAGCGAAAGCCACCCUUUUAAGCCUCAUCAAAAGAUGUCUUUCAACACUUCUUAACAAGUGCUUGAUCGUACUUCAACGAGAAUCCACUCACACACUUUAAAGUCUCUCUUGACUUUGAAGGAAGAGAUUCGUGCCCGGGAUCCACUGUUUCGUGUCUAUAUUGACAUCACAAAUUUCCACAUAGAUGUUGCUUUAUUUCUUCAUCUUUGACACUCUAUGCACGAAAAUCUUUUUGAUUUUCCAAAAGUCUGGUUUGGUUCACUACAAGCUACUUUUCUUUAUGUAGCUCCGGUUCUUAAUGCUAUAUUCGCAAGGGGAUGUUGUGGUUUUUCUAAGUGUUUCUUUUUAUUUAAUGCCGACAGCUCAUUUUAAAGAUAAGAUGAUGACUCAGCCGGGAGACUAAGGGUUUCAAGUAUUCAAAAAUGUAUUUGAUGGGAAGGCGUGCUAAAUGGAAACGUUUUUUUCUCUCAUGCGUAAUCAUCGGGGUUGCUAACUGUCACGCUUCAAUCAGCUCAGGAACCGAUUCGCGUUUCAAGAAGAUUUGGGGGCGAAUUUUUCUCUCACCUUUAUACACGGUAUAAAGGGUUAAACCCUAGUUGUUUUACCUCUUUACUGCACCCAAAUUUCUGAGAGCAAACAAAGACGAUUUUCUUCCACUGUUCAUCUUCUUCUUCGUAGCACUCAACAAUCGCGGAUUCCUCCUCUGUUCAUGAAACCUCCCACAUUCUCCCAAUUAGACCCCAGCAAAGCUUGGUCAUUGAUCUCACCCCUGUUUCUUAUGAUGCCUUCACGUAUCCCAUAGUGGAGUGUCUCAAAUACUCUCCACUGGUUCUUGCACUGACCAAGGUCGAAACUAUGCCAAUGGAAUGUCUAUCCCAGAUUUUCUCCACAGCUCACUAUGAUAAAUCUGUUGAUCUUAUCUACUUUGACAUCCUUGAUACCAAAACCUCCAUCUCAAAACAGCAAUUUUGCUCGCUUCUAGGGUUUGAACAUGAUGAAUCGAGGAUUAAACCUGAUUCGAUCUCUGUGGGUCAAUUAUUCUCCAUGUUUUACAACAUGGGUUACACUGAAAUCCUUACCACUGUCACAAAGUUCAAGAAGUCGUGUCUUCCUCCACAAUGGAAUGGCUUUUUCAUGAUACUGUUCAAAGGUUUAUCAGAGAGGAGUGUAGGUUCUGAUGGGGCCAGUCGUCUGUUCAUGACGAUUCUUUAUGGGUUGUACAAUGGGAUCAACCUCGACUAUGGCUCAGUUCUAUGGCAGCAGUUGAUCCAAAGCCUCGCCUCUACUUCUCGACACACUGAAAUCUCCUAUGCCAGGUUCUGGAUGCUCGUCACCAAAUGGGCAAUGGACAAGAAUCAUGUCCCCAUUGUGGCCACUUCUCCUCUCUCCUCGAUUGGCGUCUUCCACACUACAAAGAUCAUAGUCACUGACCCUUCCAAGUUUCUCUUUGUUGGCUCAAUUCCUGAGUCCAUGUACGCUUGUGUAUCAGGGGAGAGCCGCAUCAUCAAGACCUACAAGGAGUUUCUUCCUUCGGGCCCCAGAGAGCUGACUCCAGAGAUGGUUCAGUCCAUCAAUGAUGCCGACAAACCUGCUCCCAGGGGCAAGAAACCAGAGAAAGGGAAAGAUAAGAAAGUGGUCAAAGGGGCGAAAGGCCCUUCUCCUAAAAAGAGGAAACCAACAAAGGCAGCCCAAUCACCUCCACCAAAGAAGAGGAAAACCUAGCCUAAACGAAAACUCAUUCUUGCUUCUUCCUCAAGUGAAUCAGAGGAUGAAAGUUCAGACUCGGAGGAGUUAUUUCGAGGCGACUCUCCUCCACGUUCGCCUUCACAUGAGGUACCAGUUACAACUAAACCUGUCUCUUCUCCCCCAAUCACUAUCUCUAUUUCCAUUCCUCCCAUAACUUCCUCAACUCAUAUUCCACCCACUUCUAUUCCUGUACCACCUCCCAUUUUUUCAGACGCUACAAAAACAACCAUUGGAGUUCGAACCAACAUAUCUGAUACGGGGGCUCAUACUUCAGCACCCGAACACACACCUGUAACCGAACAUACUUCCACACCCAAACCUACUCCCACAACCGAAUCUCCACCAUCGUUUUCAUCUCCAAAAUCACCCAGCCGAGACCGAGACAUUUCUAGGAGGAGAAGAUAUGACCUUCGAUUUUGUCUACUACAGUCCUUACCAGGUUCAAAGCGAUGAUGACGAUGAUGCACCUGUCACCAAAAAGCACAUCAAGGAACUUCAUGAGAAAAUUGAUAAUCUCAUCGCUUCUUCCUCCUCCUCUCGGUCCCAUAUCACAGAAGCUUCCAUUCAGGGGAUGGUUGAUACUUUCACCAAGGCACACGAAGCCUCUAUCAACUCUGCUACAGUUACUAUAGAUGCAUCCACAAAGGCCUGUGCUGCUGCGACCGAAAAAGUCGAAAAACUAUUUCGAGAUGCUAACAUCUUUUUAGAGUCUUUAAAGGGGGUUGCUGAAUCCAAUGCAGCGAAGGUUCAUUCGGUUGUUGAGAAGUUGGCGACUUCCUUUGAAACAGAAAAGCAUUACUUUGCCAGUCUUCGUCAGACCCUUGAAACUGACAACAAAACCUUCCAGGCAGCCGUUGAGGAUCGCUUGACUAAGCUCCAAGAAGACCUUGCCACGGAAAACUUAGUGAUGGAUGCGCUUGCACGCAAAACCACUGCGCUAAAAACCAAGAGUCUUCAACUUUCCCAAGCUGAGAAGGAGGUUGAUUCUCUUCGGUCCGAGCGUGCGGUGAUUAAGAGUUGUGUUUCGGAUGUCCACAGAGCCCUCUCAAGCAUCAUUGAAGCGCGUAACCCGAUUCUCAACUACUCAGUGAGGCGAACUCUUGUUGAGAAACUUGCUCCUGCCCUUGCCUUGCUCAGCAGAAUUGAGGGGCUUCUUGAGCACGUUGUCCAUCCAAAACAAGGGGGAGAAGGAGCUUCAAAGGGUAGUAAUCAAUCUCAACCGCCUCCUACUUCUACAUCAGCUCCAACUAAAGCAACCGAACCACCAACAACUGGUCAUGCAUUAGGUUCGGGUGCUCAAGACAAAGGGAAAAAGAUUCUUGAUGACAGUGAUGGAGACGAUGACAAAGAAACCAUUGCUGAUAUCUUGAAGUAACAUGCCAGGGACAAGGAACCAGACAUGAGUGCUCGGAUCGCUAGGGAGGCUGAAGCAAAUGAAAGGAGGAUGAAGGAGGCUCAUGAUCUCCUUGAAAGUCGAAAAACCCUAUUCCCUCCAUGGACACUUGAGAAGCUUAUCAAAGAAGCUAUCGAGUCCCCUAGCAUCCUCUGGCUUGAACCUAUGAUCUCUUUGGACAGGGUUAAUUAUAUUGACUCUCAGUUCGACAUGCCCUUGAGCCAAAAGGCUUUUAUAUUUCAUGCAUUUCCCCACAUUGCUGAAGUCCCUCAUCAUCACUCACGCAAAGGUCGAUAGGGAACUUAAUGAUUUCUAUCUGAAGUUUGCUCAGCCUCAGUAUCAGACGUGGAGUGCACAGAAGAUCGUCAACGUUCGGGUCCUCAAACCAUUUUGGGAGGGUAACUUCAUGAACGUCAGAUUAAUUGAUCCAAUUAUUGUUGUUUAGAUCAAUAUUCCAAAAAUAAAAAAAUAAAAAAAAAAUUUCAAAUUUUUUUUACUGUUCGUAUCUUGCAUAUUUCGAAGGCCCAAUCCAAAUCAAUUUCACUAUUCAUGUUUAAAUAUAUGCAUAGUGUUCGGUCAAAUAUCUUCAAUCAAUAAGUCAAUAUAGAAUUGAAUCCGUUUUCCACAAGUGGAGCCCAUUGAUUCAUAUAAUUCAAUCGACGUAUGUGUUGUUCGUUAGAUGAAUUGUACACCAGCUUUAUCUGGUUGUACCAUUGUGUUUGCUCUUCAUCGUUUCUUCUAUAACGCAUCUGUUUAUGAUCAAUUUCUUUUCAUUCUAUCGAUUUCAUUGAAUCGUUUUAAUAUUUGAUAAUUUGAUUCAAGUCAAGAAAUCUCAUGAAAUCUAAUUUGCUAUCGAUAUUGUUGAUUUGAUUCAAGUUGACUUUCUGAAGUCAAAGUCAAUGUUCUUGACAAAUAAAAAUUGAAAUUGAUUGAAAAGGAAGAUAAAUCGGAUUUGUAUUUGAUUUCGAAACCAACAUGAUGUUUAUGUUUGGUAAUUUGAUUGGAGUUAUAAGUUCGAUAUCUGAUAUUAAUUUGGAUAAGCUGAGUUGUUCAAUGGAUGGAUGUCGAUCAUCAAAAAGCGAAGGUUGCAAUUGUGUUUUUGAUUUCAAACUGAAUAGUUGUUGAUUGUUGAUAUUAACUGAUUUUGGUGAUCGAUUUUGGGUUGGUAAAUGAAAAACAAAGAAUCGAUGGUCGAUAGUUGUGAGUUUGAUUGAUGAUUUUGGAGUUGCAAAUCAAAGCUUAGAAACGAACUGGGUUAAGUUUUGAUUUCGAUGAGUAUCAAGCUGUGAUAACGAAUGGUUAAUUUUGAUUGUUGAUCGAUUCGAAAGGAAUGGGGUUAAUGAACGAAGGGUAAUUGAUCGAUUUUUUUGCAAAUUUGGGUUUGAUGAUCUAACGAAAAUUUGAUUUUGGGGUCUCUGUAAUGUUAAGAUUCGAAGAUUUGGGAAUUGAUGUUGGAUAAUGAAGGUUGAUGUUGAUGAAUAUUCGAAGGGUGAUUGAUUCUGAACGAAGGAUGAAUGUGUUGGAAUCAGUAUACCAUAGUUUGCUGUUGAUGAUAUGGGUUGAUACUUGAACGAACGAAGCCUUGGUUAUUUCAUCAAUGAAUGGAUUGCAAAAAGCGAAGGGUAAUAGAUGAAUGAAAAAAACGAAGAACUGGAACUGGGUUAACAUACGAAGGGUAUCACUGUUCAUUACUAUUCACAAUCAACUCUUCGUAUGCUUCGUAUGUUUUGCCAAAGUCUUCGUACGUUUGAUCACAAAAAGCUUCGUAUGAAUUGAAGAAGAAAAAUUUUCGAAUGUAGUCCUUCAAAUUUCGAAUGGUUGUCAAUUGGAAAAAGGCUUCGUAUGUAUGGCAUCAAAAAGCUUCGAAUGUUUUGGUCAAAUCACACAUUUUCGAAAACAGCCCCUGAACCUUCGAAUUUUUGUCACUUCGAAAAUUAAAGCAUGUUUCGUAUGUUUGACACUUUUCACCCAACUUCGAAAAUUGUUUGUAGCUUCGUAUGUUUGGAACUAGUCUUCGUAUGAUUUGUGCACAAGGGAAAAAUUUUCGAAGACGGUCCCUGAGACUUCGAAUUUUUGGCAGUUUGCACCUAAAUUCGAAAAAGGACUAUUUUUUGUUGAAAAUUGAAGAAAGUGCAAUUCAGGCCCCUUCAGUUUGUGCAAAUUGACGCUUUCUACCCAGCUUUGGAAAAGGGGGAGAGUUUUGCAUAUUUUGCUGUUUGGGCGCAAAGGGUCACUGCAGAAUUUUGAAAUUGACAAUUUCUACCCAUUUUUGAAAAAUUUUGUCAAAGGCGAUCCGUCAACGAAGCUAAAAAUUGAUUAUUUUUUGGAUUUUCGGGAUUGAAGCACAAAGUUUAUGCCACAUGUUAAGGGGGAGUUUUGACAUGAAAAAUUCCAAAUCCAGCACGUUCUUUUUCCAUUGGAGUUUUAUAAUCAAAUUUCGAUUAUAAAAAGGGGGAGAAGCUUUAUAUGGAAAUUCGAACUUGAAUUUUUCAUAUUACGUGGAUUUGAUGACCGAAGUGAUCUUGAAGUUUUGAAGCCACGAGAUGAUGCAAUUGGAAGUUCGGAAGUGACGAAUUCGAAAUGGGUUUGGAGUUAUUGAAGAUUUUUGAGGUGUGUUUUUAUGUGCAACUUUAGGGUGAUUAUUUGGAGUUUGGAAUACUCUUAAUCAUUUGUUGCUGCUCGAAUUGUAUGGUCUCACAUCCUAGAGCCCAAAUUGAAGAGUCAUGGAAGAAUUGAAGAUUGAAGUUCGUUUCGACAUGUGUCACCUUUGAGGCUCGAACCGCGUAGUGCUUGAUUUUGGAAGAAUUAAAGUGGGUCAUUCAUUCCUAACUUUGAGGGGGGGAAUGUUGGGGUGCGAAGUUAUUCAUUCAUGACUUUGUAAAUGUUUGACUUUUGUAAAACCCACUUGCAUGUGGUGCUUUAGCCUUUUGACCCAUUUGUAUUUUAGAGUGAGAGAGAGACAUGAAAUCACCUCUAUAUAAGGUGGGUUUGUCCACUUGUAGAGGUGUGCUUGAGAGAUGUAAAAGUGAGUGUGUAAGUGUGUGUUAUUUAUGUAGUCUAGAUCUAGAUCCUUUUUGUGUAACACCAUAUACAUUCAAUAUAUCUCUUAAUCACCUAAAUCACCAUGUUCAAUUGUGCAAGCUUUAAUUCCGCAUGCCAAACCAUGUUCUUUGUCACUACAUGAUCCACUGGUAUAUUCGUUUCAGACAAACUAUUCUUGCCAUCAUUCCUUGUCUCUUCGAUACCACGAAGAAAGUUAAUGCAGUUGGAUCCUGUAAGCCAAAGUAGAGUCUCACUCCAAUUGACGCAGAGGGGGAGAUUGUAGGGUCCACUAUGUGUUGCGUCUUGGGCUCGCUCCAUAGUCCAAUUUUGUAUCCGGAUUGGGCUUGUCCUUCCGUGAUUUAUUAAUUAGGGUUUAGUAUUAAUAGAUGCUUGCAUGCAUCUUUGUAAGGAGCCUUUCAGUCGAUCAUUCACAGCGAUUAUAGUUUUAUCGAUUGUAACCCUAAAAUCCCCUAAAGUGGAAGUUCUUUAUCGAGCUCUGCUGAUGCGUGAAUCUAUUGAAUCAUUCAGCAUAUUUUUUAAUUCAUUCUCUUGUUUGUUAUUCUGUUUGCAUUAUUCUGAUUAACCUGUGUGAGAUGUAAACGAUCAAAGAGUUUUUCAACUCAUCAACAUGUAGCCAACGCCAUGGGUUAGGAAGCCAUGAAGGAACUUCUGCUGGCUGAGUACUGCCCUCGGGGCGAAAUGCAGAAGUUAGAGUAUGAACUCUGGAACCUGAAGAUGAAGGGUUCCGAUAUUGCCACUUACACUUCCAGGUUCGAUGACUUGGCGCUACUCUGCCCGAGAAUGGUUACCCCGGAGAGUAAGAAGAUAGAAAGAUUCAUCUGGGGGCUGACCCAGCCAACAAAAGGAAACGUCUUAGCUGCGAGGCUGGAUACAUACGACAACGCCAAAUGCUUAGCACAAACCUUAAUUGACCAUAGUGAUGACCUUGAGGAAGCAGCUACCACUCCUGAGCCGACAGAGAGGAGUGGCGAGAAAAGAAAAAUUGGGAAGAAGAAGAAAAGUCAGACAUCGCAGGAGUCUUCGAAGAGGCAGAAAAUUGUGGCAGUUCACGCUGCUACUACCCCUGCAACUGUUUCUAUUGUUGGAUCCUCAGCUCGAAAACCUACCAGUAGGUAUGCUGGAAACCUCCCUAGUUAUGACAAGUGCAACUAUCAUCACCUUACUUCCAGCCCAUGUCUAGAGGUGUUUUGCAACAGUUGUGGCAAAAAGGGUCACACUGCGAAAAACUGCAAGACACCAACUCAAUCAACCAAUCAAACUUCCGGAGCGGGCAUUGGUCAGGCCUGCUAUGGUUGCGGAGAAGUCGGGCAUUUUAAGCGAAACUGCCCCAAGGCAGCAACGACUGGAAACACCGGAAGACUUCUAGCAAUAGGACGAGAGGAGACAGCCGCUGAUCCCACCAUCGCCUCAGGUAUAUUCCUCCUCAACAACUCUUAUGCCUGCAAUCCUUUUUGAUUCUUGUGAAAAAGAAAAAAUCUUUUAACUAUUCAUUCAGACAUCUUCUUAAUCUUAACUCUCCACUACUAAUUGAAACAUUCACCGUCGAGACAACUAACAAUGGGAAAGAGAACUUUCAUCGAUACACCCAUAGGUUGUACCCUUACUCUGAACGACCAUCCUUCAUCCAUUGAUCUUAUGUCAGUUUCCAUAAACAGUUUUGAUGUUAUCUGUGGCAUGGACUGGAAUCUCCUCUCUGGUCAGACCCUCAUGACCUACGGCGAUAAUUUCGGUUCCAACAUUCGUAUCAUUUCAUGCAUCAAUAACUCAAGAGUUUUCCCCGAAAGGAGUGCCAUGCAUUCCUAACCCAUGUGAUCCGCGAGAAAAAGGAAGUUAGAGACCUCGAGAAUGUCCCCGAAGUCUGUGACUUUCCUGAUGUAUUUCCUGUAUAGCUUCCGGGAAUUCUUUCCGAACAUCAGGUUGAAUUUCGCAUCUACCGAAUUCCUGGAAUUACCUCAGUAGCCAAACCUUCGUAUCGCUUUGCUCCAGCAGAAAUGCAGGAGUUAUCCAGUUAGCUUGAUGAGUUGACCGUCAAAACCGAUAUCCUCUUUCCUCAAAUAGAUGACCUUUUCGAUCCACUUCAGAGAACCAGCCACUUCUCAAAGAUAAACUUUAGGUCAAGGUAUCGUUAGCUACAAAUCCAUGAGAGUGAUGUUCCUUAGACAGUAUGCCGAUCUCGAUAUGGUCACUACAAGUUCGUAGUGAUGCCCAUCGGUCAAACCAUUUUCCUUGGUCAUGUAGUAGACAAUGAAGACAUACAUGUGGAAUCCUCAUAAGAUCAAAGCAAUAGAGAAUUAGUCGGCACUGAAGAUACCCUCAGAAACCCGUCAAUUCUUGGGUAUCGCUGGCUACUAUUGCAUGUUCAUCCAAAAUUUUUCCUGAAUCGCCAAAACCCUAACCAUUCUGACACAGAAAGAUGUGCCCUCUUGUUGGAGGUCUUACUCUGGAAAGACGUGAUACGCUUUGGAAAGCGCAGAAAACUUAUCUCGUAGUACAUUAGACCCUUCGAGAUCCUCGUUAGGAAUCGAUCCCGUAGCCUUCUCCGAGCUACCUUCAUAACUUACCAGCAUCCAUCCGGUAUUCCACGUCUUUAUUCAUAAGAAUUGCCUACCCAACAAAACCAUAGUAAUCCCUUUGAUGAGAUCGAUAUCAACCGAAGUUUGAACCCCACCCCCACGGAAGAACAAAUUGAGAAUUAAACGUACGAAACAAAGUCGCAUCCCGAUAGUGAGGGUUCGCUGAAAUGUCAAGCGGAGAUCCGAUUCCACUUGGGAGCGUGAAGAUCCGAAGUAGUAGAUUCAUCCAUAUCUCUUUUCAAUUCAUGAACUGUAUCUUAAUCUUUGAAUUUCGGAACGAAAUUCCCUCUAACGAGGGGAUAAUGUGACAACCUGAAGUUCGUUCCGUCGUCGUAACCCGUUCCGUCUUUUAAAACUUCUUCGUCUUGAAUUGUUUUCGUUCGUUUCAAAAAUUAAGUCAUUUAUUUGAGUUUGUUAUUAUUACUUAAUUGUCCAAACACAUUAGAAACUCGUGGAAACAUCCCAAGAUUUUAUUUGAAAAAAUUUUAGUUUUAUUCUGUUAUGUUAUAAAAUAAUUAAAUCGGGUACGACCAAAAGCUCCGUUUAUCAGUAGUAUCGGGUAGAAUUCCACCGUGUCCCAAACUUUGAGAAUAUAUAAAGUUGAGAGAGUCACAUUUGAAGCCUUUAAACUCUCUCUCUCUACUUUCUCUCUCUAAAAACUCGAAAUCAAGCCAAAAUCAUCCAAAACAAGCUCCAAAUCAUUAAGAUAACUACCCUAACUCUUAGUAUAACAUCUUUAGCCUUCAAUUUCAAGUUUAAAUCAUGAUUUAGGACCAUAAACAUGUGUUUACGGCCCUGGAACAUUCUUGGGCCGUGAACACAUAAAAGUGGGGUUUUUGAGCCUUAAAACCCUUCAAAUCGACCUUUGGAGCUUAGAUAUGGCUAGAUGGCUUAAUGGAACGGACUUAGAACACCUUAAACUUAACUUUUGAGGAGUAAACAUGAGUUUACUGUCCAAGAACAUGCUUGGGCCGUAAACUCAUUAUCAUGGAGAGUAAACUCAUUUCCAUGUGUUUAAAUGCCACUUAAACACACCAAUAGCCUUGGACUAAAAUCUAGAAGCAACCACAAACGAAUUAGAAGCCUAAAACUUGAUGAAAACAACUCCCUAAGGUGUUCACGGCCGUAAACCCUUCAAAGAUNCCCCCCCAGGAUGGGUUCCUGGGCCGUAAACUCACAUACACAAGUCAAAUGAUGCCCUAAAUUCAUUCUAAGGCUUGUAAAAAUUGGUUUGAAUCACAAAUGAUUAAUCUAGGGCCAUCAAAGCAUGAAAAGAAAGAGUACUUAGGAGCUUACAGUCGUAAACUCCUAGUUCACGGCCGUAAACUCCAAUUGAUGGUCUCUUUGGUGGUUAAAUCCAUUCCUACGCCUUAGAUUAAAUCUUAGCAACAUUUCCCAUGUGAUAUUUAACCAUUUAGCACCUUAAAACCCAUCAACCAUGAGUUCACGGCCGUGAACUCAUGUGGUCAUAGUCUUAGGGCCGUAAACUCCCUAAGGAGUUUACUCUUGAAGAACAAACUCAUUUUCUAAGCCCUAUACGUCCGUAGAUGUUACCCGAGUCCCUCCAAACACUUGUAAUGAAGUGUUUUCGCGACUAGAAGUGUAUAUCCCCAACUAAUUAAUAAUUCAAAGCCUAAUUAGAUACAAAUGUGUAUCUUUUCAAAUUACAUAGGAAUCUUGUGCGUUUGCAAGCCCCGAACUGACGUUUAGGAUCCAAACUGACGCGUUCCUCAACCGGUGAGUUCAUACCCCUACCCUUUAUCAAUGUUUUUCAAUGUUUUCAUGGGGGAAUACAAGAAAAAGUACAAGAAUAUCUUGUACUUAAAUUCAUUAUUUCAUUUGAAUGGUUUCAUAAUCCGUACACUUUUAAGAAUUGAAAACAUAUUAACAAACUGUUUGACUUACAGAGUUGUUUUUCAAACCGAUUUCAAUUCGUAUUAUAUAGUGUUAUACUUUAUACUUCGCAAUUGAUUGUUCACACAUUUACUGUUAGAAAUCAUAGAACUUUUGUGUUGUCCUUAAUAAACCACCCCCUAGAUACGAGUGUGAAGGAAAGGUAUCAUUAGAACUUAGUCAGUCUUAGUUAGUACUCCCCCUAGAUACGAGAGUAAAGAGUAAUCUUAAGAUUGGAGACACGUCCUUUGUAACACUUCCCCUAGAUACGAGAGUGGAGGACUGUCCCUGUAACCAUAAUCUCCGGAAGGGAGAGCGUGACUUGAGUGUAUAGAUCUAUACGGGACUGAUUAUCCCGCACCUGGCUGCUAGCUACAGCCAAACCGAAAGGUUCAAGGGUGACAAAAGUCAUAAAAAGAUACUGGCCCCGAUCCGAGUCAUAUCUAGUCUGAAGUAUGGUUAAGGAACUCACAAUCAAGAUUAUGAAAGCUUUAAACUUAUUUAAUAGUUUUAUAUACGUGUUAAAACUAAUGUACAUUUAAAGGCAUUCAAACUUUCAGGAAACUUCACACACACACUUUAAGUAUGGUAGAUACUUGUAUGUUACUUUCAGAUUCGAUAACACUUCACAAACAUUUUAGGAAAAUAAGGGUUUUUCCUGGGAUAACUAAACUUGUUCUUAAUCAGAGUGUGUAAAAGUCAGAUAACAAACUGUUCUUAAUCAAACUAGGUAACAAACGGAUAACUAAACUUUACUUUUAAGAAAAUAUGAGAUUUUAUUGGGUUCGUAACUUUUUCAGAAAACCAAAAGGAAACUUGUUCACUUUUCACAAAACAAAAUCACUUACGAACUCACAAGCUUUAUGCUGAUUUUCAAACUGCUUGUAUUCUCAGGACCACAUUAGAUAGGUACCCAGCGACCCCUUUUGGCGAAGACGGAGUGCAUAGAAGACAUGUCUGUAUUUUUGUUCAUAUGAUAUAUAUGUAUGACACUAGUAACAUUUUGAUUUCAAACAAAUGUAAUAACUAUAUGUAAUGUAUUUCUUUGUGUUUACUAUGCUUACUAUGUACAUCGGUUGCGAUAUUCAUGAUGUCCUCCACCCCGGAACGUUUCCGCCUCCGAUUUCGGGGUGUGACACUCCAGUACGUAGGUAGGUAAUUUUAUUACAUAAUUAAAACUAUAGAAGAAAGAAAUUCAUAAACAAGGUUAGUUUAAUACAUAUUGUGAGUCGUAUAACCAUACUAAUUCGACCUGUGACCUCCUUGACAUUCUUCAGGCGUCUUUUGAUUACAAAAUUUGUCACCCCAGGCGUGCCCGCCUAACUGUAGCUAGCAGUUUAGGUGUGGGAUUGUCGGUCCCGAAUAGAUCUAGUCACAAAUUUUACGCUCUCCCUCCAGGAGACUCUGGUUAUAUUACCGGAGAGGAUUUAUUGGUACCCCGAAGGGCAUAACGAAGAUAAGUCUCACAAGCUAGUAUUAACUAAUUUACGGAAUAUUUAGUUGUUAUCGAGUUUCAAAAUCGUUCAGAACAAAGUAGAGUAUAAAUAAUUAAACACAAUAUAAUUAUUUAGCAUGAUAGUCUAGAUUAGUAAUGGAGAAACUAAAUAUGACAUAGCUUAUAUAUUUGACUUUGCAUGAAAUUAGAAUCUGUAAAACAAGUAAUGAAGAUCCCAAAUUAUUCCCAUAAAAUUUGAAAGAUUUGUUAAGUUCCCACGCUGUUUUGAAAACUAUGUAAUUAUAUUUAGAAAGCGUCCCUUAUGCUCCACAUAUUACAAAAGAGAUAAAGGUAUCUAACAGUUUGAUAGAAAAUCGUUAUAAUUACAUCAGUUUUUAAGUUACGAAAUCCUUUAUGAUUUGCUUGUAUUCCCCCCCCCCCNNNNNNNCCCCCCCCCCCUGAAAACAUGAAAAACUCGAAAAAAGUGUAGGGGUAUGAACUCACCUGCAGUGAGUGGAAUGGAUGGAAAUGCCGGGUAGGAUGCUAGGUGUCAAUUGAGGUCUUAAACACACACGAGGAUCCUAUGUAACAUGUAGUGAUACAUAAUUGUAUUUAAUUAGUUAUUUAAUCACUAAUUAAGUAAGUAAAUACACUCUAAUGCAUGAAAACACUUUAUUUCAAGUGUUAGGAGUGAUACGGGUUGCAUCUAAGGAGUGUAUGGUCUCACUAUGGAGUUUACUCCUCAAAUGGGGUCCUUAGGUGUGUUUACGGUUGAAGGACCAUAUCCCCCAUGAGUUUACAGCCGUAAACUCAUGGGAAUGGUGGGUUUGGGUGCUCAAAGGUAUUAAACUACUCAAGGACAUAUGCUAGACUCGAAUCAAGGGCUAUGGAAGUGAUUGGGGCUUGAAAGGGCCCUUAUUUGGAGUUUAUGGUUUUUGAAUCCCUCCUUGGGGAGUUUACUGCCAUAAACACAUGAGUUUACGUCCGUAAACUCAUGUUUGUCACUUCCUUUCAUGGUUUGGUGCUUCUAGGGUAAGCAUGCAAGGUUCUAGCCACUCAUACAAGUCAUUAAAGGUGUUAAGGGUUUUGGGGGAUUCCUAACCGUAAACUCAUGUUUACUCCUAUCAUUUCAUGUUUUGGGGUUCUUAGAUCAUUCACGCAAGUUUGUAGGUCAUUAGCCCAGCAUUGGAAGGGUUUUGGGGAAUCAAAAACCCCCCUUUUAGGGUGUUUACGGUUUUCGGAUGUUCCCAAAUUGUAAACUCUUGUUCUUGGGGUUUUUGAGAGUUUAAACCAUGGAUUUGCAAGUAUGCUAUGCUAAACACAAGGUAGGAGGGUUUACUUACUGUUGUGAAGCUUGAAGGGGCGUUUCUCGAUUGAAACCCAAUUUAUAGAGAGAGAGAGUAGAGAGAGAAAGUUCCUAGAGUGUGAAAAAGCUUGACCCACUCAACCGUUAUAUAGGGUUGAGUUUACGACCAGGGUGGGGGUCCACCCAACACCAACCGCAAACGGGGUUUUUUGCGUGAUUUUUCGUUUUCCGACACGUAUGAAAUGACGACAAUAACCCUAAUUGAUUUACUUAACUUAAGAAGUUAACGGAAAAACUUUCAAUUAAAAUAAAUUUUUAUUAACGGAGGUGGGUUACAGUGAAAGAAUAAAUUUCGGGUUGCCACAGUNNNNNNNNNNNNNNNNNNNNNNNNNNNNNNNNNNNNNNNNNNNNNNNNNNNNNNNNNNNNNNNNNNNNNNNNNNNNNNNNNNNNNNNNNNNNNNNNNNNNNNNNNNNNNNNNNNNNNNNNNNNNNNNNNNNNNNNNNNNNNNNNNNNNNNNNAUAUGGACAUAGAGAGAGAGAGAGGGAUGGAGAUGGUUCGAUGGAGAAAAAAAUGUUGACAAUGAGGGAAUCAUUCUCAGCCACAUAUUUAUUCUGCAGCAAAAUACUUAGACGUACCGACGGAAGUGGGACUUGAACCUUCGACGGGCGGAGUGCAUCACAGAACAUAUAAAUAACAUGAUAUGUUUGACAAACAACAUGUUUGGAAAAUUUUGACAUGUUUUCUCUUCUUAAUAUUUAUUAGAACGAUAAUAAGAAGGUUUUUUAGGAAGUUUUACCAUUAGUCAUAUUUUUAUAUUUGCUACUGUCUUUAAAAGUUAUUUACAAAAACUGCGUUUUCAAAAUCAAAGCAUACGAAAACUAGUAUUUACUAAUUGUUGAUCCAAAGAACGUGUGUUUGUGUUUGUGUGUGUGUGUGUAUAUAUAUAUAUAUAUAUAUAUAUAUAUAGAGAGAGAGAGAGAGAGAGAAAGAGAGAGAGAGAGAGAGAGAGAGAGAGAUGUAGAUGGUUCAAUUGAUAAAAAAAUGGUGAGAGUGAGAGAAUCAUUCUCAGCCACAUAUUUAUUCAACAGCAAAUAAUUAGAGGCACUGCUGGAAGUGAGACUUGAACCUUCUAAAGGACGAAGUGUAACACAGUACAUAUAGAUAACAUGAUAUGUGUGACAAAUAAUAUGUUUGGAAAAUUUUGACAUGUUUUCUCAACAUAAUAUUUAUUAAAACGAUAAUUAGAAUGUUUUUAGGAGGUUUUACCAUUAGUCAUAUUUUUAUAUUUACUAAUGUCUUUAAACGUUAUUUACAAAAACUGUGUUUUCGAAAUCAAAUCAAACAAAAAGUAGUAUUUACUAAUUAUUGAUCCAAAGAAUGUGUGUGUGUGUAUGUGUGUGUAUAUAUACAUAUACAGAGAGAGAGAGAGAGAGAGAGAGAGAGAGAGAUGCAAAUGGUCCAAUUGAGAAAAAAAUGUUAAGAAUUAGGGAAUCAUUCUCAGCACAUAUCUAUUCUGCAGCAAAAUACUUAGACGUACCGGCGGAAGUGGCACUUGAACGUUCGACCCGAAGGACGGAAUGCAACACAAAAUAUAUAGAUAACAUGAUAUGUUUGACAAACAUGUUUGGAAAAUUUUGACAUGUUUUCUCUACUUAAUAUUUAUUAAAAUGAUAAUAAUCAGGUUUUUUAUGAGGAUUUACCAUUAGUCAUAUUUUUAUAUUUACUACUAUCUUUAAAAGUUUUUUUAGAAAAACCGUGUUUUCAAAAUCAAAUCAUACGAAAACUACUAUUUACUAAUUAUUGACCCAAAGAAUGUGUGUGUGUGUGUGUGUAUAUAUAUAUAUAUAUAUAUAUAGACUGAGAGAGAGAGAGAGAGAGAUGGAGAUGGUUCAAUUGAGAAAAAAAAUUUGACAAUGAGGGAAUCAUUCGCAGCCACAUAUUUAUUCAGCAUCAAAAUACUUAGACGUAUCAGCGGAAGUGGGACUUAAACCUUCGACCCGAAGAACGGAGUGCAACACAGAACAUAUAGAUAACAUGAUAUGUUUGACAAACAAUAUGUUUGGAAAAUUUUGACAUGUUUUCUCCACUUAAUUCGUAAGGACGGUACGACCUAGACCUCAGUUUUGUCCUUCGUAUUCCAAACCCCGAAGUCCUCGUGCGAAGAGUACUUUUCCUUCCGAAGCCUUGCCGCUGUAGGUUCAGCAGACCUUCCCGAACUACCACUCUUCCAACAGAUGAAGUUCAACCACAAAGGCUAAGGACGAAUAUAGCCCACCUAUCAUUAAUAAGUGUAUACGCUAGAGUGGUAUAUAAUCAUGAUUAUGCAGAGUAUGUGUGUUCUCGCCCUAUCUCCUGUUCCUUGUUUGGUUGUGGACCUAGGGUAGAGUCGCACAUCCGACCGUCUAACUAAUCUUAAAUUAUAUACGACUUGUAUACACAAGGUAAUGAUAAAUGGACCAAGUAUGAAUCCCAUCACGGACAUUAGGGCAGAGUUGCCAAGUCUACGAGUGUGUAUUCUGCCAAUCAGAGGAGUACAACCCCAGUAGUACUACUAAGAAAGCUAAUUUCGGGACGAAAUUCCAUCUAACGGGGGGAUGAUGUGACAACCCGAAAAUCGUUGCCUUGUAAGUUCAGCCAUUCAAUUAAAUUGUGUGUCAGACUCGUUUCUGCUACCUUUUAGCCUUGUUUAUAGUUUGUUUAAAGGUUCAAAGCUCAGUACAUUCAAGCAUUGGGUUUAAGGAUGUAUUAGCUAAAGUUCUUUGCGUUGAAAUCGAGCCGAACACUCCAUUUGAGGGAGUGUAUGGCCGUACACAUGAGUGUGCAGCCGUACACGUGUGUGCGGCUGUACACCCAUGUUGGCGGUACACCCCCUCCAUAAGAGUGAUAUCCCUUCAUCUCUAAGCCAUUUCCUCAGUUUCCAAGUCAAGAACAUUGAUUUCUCUCUUAACUAUCAUCGACCUUUCACCCCGAUCUUCAAGAAUGUAAGCCUUUCUUCUAUUUUUAUUUGUUGUUAUCCUUCUUAACCUAGUAACACCCUUUGAUUCCAUCCAUGGAAAUCAUCUUUUUACUAGGUCUUCAUCUUUCACCAAGAACACACACUUGUUCUUGGUGAUUGUGAACCCUCUUGAGCCUUCAAAUCGUAAGUACUUCUUCCCUAUGCUUAGUACAUGUUCGGAACACUUGAUUAACACCUUAAGAUCGUGCAAACCUCAAGAUACAAAGGAGUGUACGGCCGUACACCCAUGUGUGGCUGUACACCCCUCCAAACACCCCUAAAGGGCCUCCAAACUAGAAUCCUAGCUUCAACACUUGAUGAGCAAUUGUCCUACAAGCUUCCCUAUCACAAGAAGACGAUUUUGUGCACUUAUUACCAUGAGUGUACAGUCGUACACUGCAUGGCCGCAUAUUCCUUAUUGUAGUCGUAUACUCCCCUUAGAUGAAUCACAUGUGAUUCUAACACUUGGUCCAAGUGUUUCCUAGUCCCUAAAGGUGUUCCCUUUCAUAGGGUUGCUUCUAAACAUUAUAUCCAUGCCAAUAUAUGUCAUUAUAUGUCAUUUAGGACUCGUCUGUGUCUCGGGACUUCAUUCGUGGAACUUCUCAUCCUUACGUGCAUAUUCGUUUAAAUCACCCACAUAAGGUGACUUCAUACCCAUAUAAUCAAUAUUUUAAAUUGUUUUAAAUUCUUUUAAAGGGGGGGGGGGNNNNNNNNNNNNNNNNNNNNNNNNNNNNNNGGGGAAUACAAGUUGAACACAAUGAUAAUUGUGUAAAUGUUUGUUAUAAACAUCUUUCAAAAGAUUACUUAUGUCUUUUAUAAGUGAUUCAAAACGUUUCAAAAGCUCUUUUUAAGUUAUGUUACUUUAUAGUUUAUAAAACUCCAUUUUUAAAGUACAAUUAUAACUUAGUAAAUAAAUGAGUCAUUUCAAUAACAGUUCAAGUAAACAUACUAGUAAACUAUAAUGGGUAUAGUAUAAGGGUUCAGUUCAUACUAGAUGCUAGAACAUACUAUAAAGAGAAUCAGGGAGGUAGAUACAAUAUAUGAUAACAUAUGGAUCAUACAAUAAAGAGAAAUAAGGAGGAAGAAAUAAUACAUGAUAACAGAAAGAACACACUAAGACACUAUAUCAGAAAGAACAUACUAAAUGCUAUAGCAGGAGAACAAUACAAGAUUUAACUAUACCAAAAAUCACUAACUCAUUGUUCUAAACAAAAGGUGAUAGUAAUUGGGUAUACAUGAUUAUAUAACUUUAAUGUGAAUUUACGCGGCAUAGCAAUUUGUUUGCAGAAGUCGUGUUUGGUCCCCAGAAUCUCUUGUAGGGAGAGCGUAUAUUAUGGGUACUAUCCAUCACAUUAUGACCUUAAUAAAACAAACAUGUUUUAAACGUAAUCAGUACGCGCGUCAGGAUGCCAAUUCAAAAGACAGCUGUGUACUUACAUUUUCCCAUUACUUUCAUAUUGUGACAAAUCCACUUGAAAGUUAAUGAAAACUGUUUUAGACUUAGGAUAGUUAUAAACUAGGCGAAACUCACAUUUUACAAAUGACAAACAGAUUAGUCAAGUCUAGUACAUUCAGUAGAAAGGGGGCCUAUAAUGCUGACUUUAUGAUCCCUUAGUGUAUACAUCAGAGAUAUAUAUAUAUAUAUAUAUANUAUAUUAAUCGGAUCCGACAGACAGUAGGAUAUGUGCUUUCCGCUUCAUUUCAUGUUCCUUGUUUGGUUCUUGGCUUAGAGCAGAUUCACCCAGCCUACUGUCUAUUCGAUCUUAGCUUUAUAUAUAUUCUGUACACACCAAAUAAUCAUAAGGAGUACCAGGUAUGGCCCAUGUCAUAGGGCACUAAUUCAAUGCACCGUUUUCUAGUACAAAACAUACUUUUCAAUUAACAUUUGAUAUACGAAACUAGAAACUUACCAGUAACAGGGUUUAAUCCAUUUUAUUAAACCAGUAUAAACUGAAAGGACCUUAGGUGGUUAACUCUAUAAUACCUUAAUUUAGACAUCAAGGUUAUAUAUAAUUAAUUACCAAAUAAGUAGUUGGAUGUGUGUUUUCCGCCUCAUUUCCUGUUCCUUGUUUGGUUGUGGGAUUAGGGCAAAUUCACACAAUUAACUAUUUAUUCGAUAUUAGAGUAUAUAUAGCUAGUAUAAAACUAAGUGAUUAUAGAAAGAACCACUGUGGUUACCAAUUUUUACUAAAAGAAAUAAGGGUUUUUCUUAAGGAAUCCUUUCAUUAAAUAUAAAGGAACUAUUACAGUUAACUCCGUGAGUACCAAGUGAAUACACCAGGGUUAUAUACCACGAAGAUCUAACAAACAAUGGGAUGUGUGCUUUCCCCCUCAUUUCCUGUUCCUUGUUUGGUUGUGGGCUUAGGGCAGAUACACACAACCGAUUGUUUGUUUGCUCAAGGUUUUAUAUAACUUGUAUCCAUUUAGUACUCAUAAAAAGGAUUGUAGAGUCAUUUUUACUUAUCUUUCAUCAAAGCAGGAAAUAUAGGAUUUUCUGGAGGAAUAGGCGAACUUUUCUAAACAAAACUUACAACUUUCUACAACUUACGUCACUAAAAUCUUAUGAACUCACCAGCUUAAAUGUUGAUCUACUCUUUCAAAAUAACUUGUACUCUCAGGAGACCAGUAGACAGGUACACGCACUAGGAUUCAAAAGUUUAAGCAGUAUAGCUUCAAGUCUGGUUUUGUUAUUUACAUUGUAGUCUAUGUUUUGAGAACCACAUACUAUGUAAACACUUUCUUUUUAAUGAAAUGGUUGUUUAUUACUGUGAUUACUAUGAUGCAUGACUUGUGAUACUAAAACAUGACGUCCUCUGUCCUCGAACGUUUCUGUCGUUCCAUUUUGGGGUGUGACAGUUGUGGUGCUUGUAACAAUAACAUCUCCAAAUUCUCAAUCUGUUUUAGCAUUUUAUCAUUAGUUAAACACUUUCCAACCUUUACCAAGCUAUAUAUAUAUGUNUAUAUAUAUAUAUAUAUAUAUAUAUAUAUAUAUAUAUUAGUUAGUUGUGUUUAAUUUUACCAUAAUGUGACCAAGGUCAUCCAGAUCUAACUCUUCCAUGAUAAACUCGGCGUAUUCGUCUGCUUGGUUCCAAAUAUUCGAUAACUUGUUUGUUGAAGCACUAAGGCUAAUAAUUUGAAUCAUAUGGCUAUAGAAUAUCAAUAAUUAUUUGAACAAAAAUAUUCUAAUCUACCGCCCUUAAAGGCUUAAAAUUAUUUUCAUCUUUAUCUUGCUUUGGACAAAAAUAAAUACAUAACCUAGACCUUUCCGACAUCGUCUUCUAUGAUCCUACCAUUUGCGUCUUUAUCAAUCCUGCAUUUAUUUCAUAUGACUCCCACAUAACAUAAAUAAUUAGUGAUUAAAAUAAAUAGUAAAUCCUCACAUGUCAAAGAAUGUCUGUAGCCUUGUGUCUAAACUCCGAUCAAAUAUUUGGCUCCAAAACUCGUACAUUUGAUCUCUGUAAAUCGAGUCACCGUUUAUGUUCCUCCUUAGAGAUAAUGCAUCAAAAAGCACCUCAACGAAGUCUUGAGAAUCUUUGUUCAUUCCUAGUAAAUUAAUAUAAAAUAAAUUGACUGGCCCUACUUAUUGAAAAUAUUAAGAACAAACGUGCAUGGUUGGAGUUAUUGAUUACCAAUGCUUUCCCAAAAACGCGAUCGUGGCAGUAAGCCAUUGGUAUCCUUGGUGAGAUCAUCAAAUCAGUUCAGCAAGGAGACCCACGUCAUACCUUCCUCCUUCUUGCUAAUGAACUUAAGCCCCUUGAAAGGGACGAACUUAAUCCUAUUAAAUAAUAGACCACCCAUGGGUUUCCCUUUCGUCAACGGCUUCAACUAUUUAGACACUGCAACUAAGCCAUCGAUAUUCUACCACCGAUUCAUCACUACCAUCCAAAGUGAUUCAAUGUGGUCGUCAAUUUCAGAGUUCAUGUUAACACCCACAGCCUCGGAAUGAUCAUGGAGCAUGUUAUUCUCUGGCAAUCCAGUUCUUCCAUAUAUCAUCGGUACACAUGUUUUGCAUUUGCUUCCAAAAUACAAAACAGAUCAAAUUGAAAAUCACAAGGGGGUACAUUAAUUAAUACGAUAGAGACAAAUGUGAAGAACGAAGUCGGAGUUUAAGCAACUUUUGUAAAACAUAAAGGUUACUACUUAAAAAUAAAUCAAUUUCAAUGCAUAUUACUUACAAAUAAUCUUUAACCGGUAGCAAUAUUCGAUGUUCAUCAUUAUGAUUACGCUUCUUCUUUUUUUGCAUAUUGUUUUCAUUGAAAUAACACGAUUUUCAAUAUAAACAAUGCAUAACAUCAAAUGCAAAUCAGAACAUCAUAUGAUAGAAGCGCGAAGAUACAUAUAUAUAUCAGUUAGUAAAAGAAAAUGUAACAUUCGGAUUUUCAGGGUUAUUAUUUAAGUUAAUCUUAUGAUUUAAGGAAAGACUCGACGAGUUGAGGGUCCAACUCGCCGAGUCGAGUCGGGUUUCUCUCGCGGGUUAUUGAGUGAACUCGACGAGUCAGAGGAGGGACUCGCCGAGUAGGAGCUGGGCAGAGGAACCCUGAUUUUCGGGGUUUGGGACCUAUUUAAAGGCACUUAUUGCCUCCUUGACCCCUCCCCAUCAGAGUCUUUUUCCCUUGAGAGAAACCCUAGAGUGAUUGGUGAUCUAUAGAAGAAAUUGGCUAAUUGGAGGUCAUUCCUUGGAAAGGAAGAGCAAGGGUUUUGCAAGGAUCUCAGAGGAGAGUUAGAGGAUCAGGUUCAUCUUCAUUGCAAGCUCCAGAUCUGGUACAAACUCUUCCCUUCUUUGUGUUUGUGUAGAUUUCCUUGGUUAAUUAAGUUAGGGCUUGAAUCACAAUUUAGACAGGGUUGUGGGUGCAUCCAAACCCUUUUUCGAGUCAUGUGUAGAUCUGGACCUUGUGAGGUCCAGGGAACCAGAAAGUAGGCAACCAUGAAAGAGUUGUUUGGGAGCUUUAAAGCUAUGGAGAUUCAAUGGAGUCCAAAUGGUGUAUUGAGCAAAAUACACCAUGCAUGAGCCUCAAGUUCAGACCUUUAUGUGACUUUUGAGUAGUAGGAGGUUAGAUCUAUGAGUUUGGGUUGCAGAUCGGACCUUGGAUGGCUGAAUGAGCAAUCUGUUGGAGCCAACUCGCCGAGUCCAUGAGAUGACUCGACGAGUCGUAGUGGGUUUGACCGAGUAGCCUUAACCCAGUGUUGGAUCACCAAUUUAGGGGUCAACUCAAUGAGCUGAGUGAGACUCGGUUAUAGUUCAGAUGAUGCGAGGGGACUCGACGAGUCGCAAGGAUGCACUCGACGAGUAGGGUCGAGUGUGGACUGUUGACUUGAGUUGACUUCUAUUGACUUUGGAGUUUUGGUCAACAUAAGUAAUAGAGACCAUGGAGGGGUAAAAUGGUCUUUUACCCACUUCCCGAUUAGAGAGGGAAAAAGUAACUGUCGGUUUAAUUAGAGUUGAUAUUUCUAGUGUUAAUUAGAGAUAUUUGCCCUAUGUGUUAGGCGGUGGCGAGUUCGAGAUUCAAGUGUGAAGAUAACUGCUUUUUGCUUGUCAGGUGAGUCUUCUCACUAUACAUUACCUAGAGUGGUAUCUAUGUGUAGACCGGAGGGUCUUGUGUGCUAUGUGUAUGUAUGAGACUAUGUGCAUUGUAAUAUAUGUAUGUUAUGUGAUUGUAUAGACCGGACCGGAGGGUCCAACGAUAUAGACCGGACCGAAGGGUCCAACGAUACAGACUGGGCCGAAGGGUCCAACGAGCUAUGACAGGACCAGAGGGUCCAACGAGCUACGUGACUGGAGGGUCCCGCUAAGACACAUCGAUCGGAGGGUCGUACUAUAGUCUAUAGUGGCGUAUGUGGUAUUUUGGGGAACUCACUAAGCUUCGUGCUUACCGUGUUAUGUGUUAUGUGUUUCAGGUUUUUCUCAGGAUCAUGGGAUGACACCGGCUUGAUUAUACACACCAGAGGAAGAGUUAUGUUUUUGAGGAUCCUGGAUUAUUAUUUAGUUGAAUAUGUAGUUAUGUUUUGUAAUUUAAACAAAAUGAUGUUUUUACAAAAAAGUGUUUUAAGAAUUAAGCGAUUUUAAAUGAAAAUUUUUAGUUUGAAAAAUUACGGUGCUACAAGUUGGUAUCAGAGCCUUGGUUUGAGGGAUUCGGAUGCACCUUCGGGUAAAUCUGGACUCAAACUGAGGAUUUAAGAAAGUUUUCAAAAGAAGUAAAUUUCUAAAAACGAGCAAGAGUUUCUAAGAGAAUAACGAGAAGGAGUAGUGUGUACAAUCAGCCAAAGCCCGAACGGUGAUUUCCCAAAAUACUCUUACUUUUGUGUUAUGAGAUAUGUUAUGAGACAUCAUGCAUGCUAGAGAUAGGCUUGGUAGUUCAUAUUUUAGGACUAGAGAAGCCUAAUCUGUGAUGCCUUAGCCUAGGAGUUGCUGUUAUAUGUGAAGCACUUUCGAGUAUUUAUUGAGUGAGAGUAUCCAACAAGAAUCCUUGUAGAGAGGGAUUUGAGUAGAGGAGUAAUCUAGGAGAGAUACCUAGAUGAGCAUUUGUGGAACCUAUCGGGAGAGUAGCUAGAUACCCGCGGGGGGUAAACUUGCAGAGUUCGGUAAUACCUUUUGAGUAUGAGUAGAGCAAGUGGAGUUAUCACCUAGAGUGGGUUAUACGUGAUCAUUCGAUGCUCGAAUGCUGCUUGCUUCCUGCUUUGUGGAAUUCCCGAUGAUGGGAGUCAGCUAUCAAGUGAAUGUGACGAUAUUUAAGAGGUAGAUGACUGGCAUCAGAAGGAGUUUCUCAGCAGCUGAUGGCAGAGAAGUGUGAGAACCUAGGAAGAGCCUAGGACGUGACCUUAGUUAGAUGAGUACGCUGACAUAGUGGAGCAAUUCGUUGGGGAGCGAGCAGCGCAUGUUGAGAUUGGUGACUGAGAAGGUUGAGCAGCUACUUAGGGAAUCUAGGAUGGUUCGUGCAGAGAGUAUGGGUAGAUGUGGCAGGUAGUAUGGGCCCGUACUACUGAAAGCAAAGGACCCAUACUGGAUGCAGGGAGGAUUCCAGAGGUUCUAAGUAGCAGAUCCAGAGGUGAUGUCACGGUUCGAGUACCAUGAUUGGUAGCAGAUCGAGAGGUGAUGUCAUGGUUCGAGUACCAUGAUUGGUAGCAGAUCGAGAGGUGAUGUCAUGGUUCGAGUACCAUGGUUGGUAACAGAUCGAGAGAUGAUGUCAUGGUUCGAGUACCAUGAUUGGUAGCAGAUCGAAAGGCGAUGUCAUGGUUCGAGUACCAUGAUUUGAGACAGAUUGAGAUGAGAGAACAUGGUUCGAGCACCAUGAUUCAUAAGCAAAUCAGGGGGUGGCCACAUGGUUCGAGUACCAUGAUAUGUGGCUGUUAGUGCUUCUAGUUUUACCGGUUAUUCCGUGGUGAGUGUCUAGACCGAUGUCAGAUGUGAAAGAGUAUGGUGCCAGAAGGCCAGGAUGAACGAAUUCUAGUGGAGCAACCCUUGAUAGGGAAAUCGAGUUAACUCCGAGAACUUGUUAAUGAUAUACCAGUAGAGUCGCAAGACUCAAGGUUGAGCAGGGAUGGUGCGUUAUGGAAGAAUAUGGUAUGGGCUGGGCAACCAGCCGAUAGUGGAGAUGUCACUUUCUGUGACCCAAGUGGUGUUAUUUCUGUUUCCUGUGGGAGACGUAAGAGGUGUUCAGAUUUCGGUUUGAGUUUGGGGGUAAGCCCCAUGGGAUUGCACUAGUAGUGAUCUUCAAUCAUAAAGUAUGGUAGUAUGUUUGCCACGAGGAAAAGAUAUAGCUUGAACAAGGCGUCAGUGGGGACUGAGUUGGUCAAGGACCAGGAUACACCCUACUUGAGUAUAGUAGGGCAUGUGUUAGCUGCAACGUCGGUCGAUCAAAAGGAGAUAUCAUAGCGGUGGCUCUUAUUAUCUUUGAUGUGUAUCGAGAGUGGUAAUCUGGGUUCUGCUCUUAUCAUAAGUGUCAUGAUGGAGCGUGGGUCGAGGAAUCGAGAAUGAGGAAGAUGAUAGUUCGCUAUUUCCAGACUAAGUGUCGGGAUUGAUAAUGGACAGUUAGACAUUCCGGUGUUGGGAUGUGUGGGAUUCUGAUUGACCAGAGGCGGUAGUGAUGGGAAGUUCUGAGGAUUUCAUAUGUGAUUCGGAGUAAUUGAUAUUGCUCGAUUUCUAUCGAGAAGGAUCAUCUAGCGUUGCAUAGCUCUUUCAAAGGGUAGGUGAAAUUUUGCUAAUGAAGACAAUCUGUGGGAUAGAUUCAUAGUACGCCAAUUGGCGAGGGUUCAAACCCUAAGUGGGGGAGAACUGGAUAUUUUCUAAGGGGAUCUGAGAUUUGUUCAAGGGCGAUCAGGGGACUAGUUAUAGUGAGCUAUGUGUCGGAUACAUAAAUUCAUGGUUAUUUGAUGAUUGGGAUGUGGUGCUAAGUGAGUUAAUGCAUGUUGCACGUGUUCAUGGAGGAAGGACUGUCUCCAUGGCAGGGACCGUGGGUUGGGGACCCUGUGGAAGUUAGAUAAGGAUAGUUAUGCGGUUGAGAAUCCCCGGUUUAGUGUAUGGGAGGCUAUGUACGCUCGGGGAAGGUAGAAAUUGAUUUUUGGCAACUAAUUCCGGGCCGUUACGAGUAUGCUUGCUUGAGUUUUGAGCAUUAUAGGAGGGAGUUCUGGAUUGUUGUCAACAUGUUCUGAGUCAUUGUCGAUCCCUCCAUUAAGAGUUGGAAUAUUCUGAAGUUGCACGUUCAGAGAAAGAAGGAUAGUUACGAGAUUCUGAGAGUAUGCAUUGAGGUAUCUGUAUAUGAUGCCAUAAGUAGGAGGUCAGUGGUUGAGACAGGACAUCGUGAUGUUCCGUGAUGGUGUUCCGAGGUAUCCGAGUAUAAUGCCCCGAAUUCAAAAUUAUUUUGGGUCUUGAGUUUGAGACGACAAGUGGAGUAGCAGGUACCUACGGUUCCAGUGGGAGCCCUUUGGGUAUUGACAUCUAGAGGGAUUAUCUAAGAGUGUGGAUUCCAGCAAGGAGGGAUGUUUGGUCUUGGUGGUUGCUGUCAGAAUCUAUGAUGCAUAAAUAGGGACAAGUGUGUGAGUACCUAUCUAUGCUAGUCCGCGGAGCAUGAGUUAGUGGAUGUAGUGUGGUGUUGACGUGAGAAGGAGAUUGUGGAUUAUGAGAGAAAGGGUGUUGUGAUGCUACGAGGAGCCGUAGUACUCACUAGUCAGAGAAAGGGUGUUGUGAUGCUACGGGGAGCCGUAGUACUCACUGGUCAGAGAAAGGGUGUUAUGAUGCUACGGGGAACCGUAGUACUCACUGGUCAGAGAAAGGGUGUUGUGAUGCUACGGGGAGCCGUAGUACUCACUGGUCAGAGAAAGGGUGUUGUGAUGCUACGGGGAGUCGUACUACUCACUAGUCAGAGAAAGGGUAUUGUGAUGCUACGGAGAGCCAUAGUACUCACUAGUCAGAGAGCGGGUGUGGUAAUGCUACACGGAGACGUAGUACUCGCUAGUUAGCAAGAGGUUCUUAUGAUGAAGUACUCUUUGAUCAGAGCAUGACGCAGAAGAGUUUAGGCUUGGGUAGCCCUAACCUAUGAGUUUUGGGAGCCUGGUGGUCGUAUCAGGGGCGAGACAGGGGCCUCCUUAACGAUCAGGAGUCGUUACAUUCUGAGUUAAGGUGUGGUUAUCGUAAUCAGAAGGAAUUUGGGAAGUGAUGUACGCAUGGGUUGCGGGUCAUGAGUCAUGAGUUGAGUGGUUCAUUGGAACGAGUGGUUCCAAUUCUAGGUCGGACAAGACACUCGAGCUGAGUUUGGCUCUAGUGGUGCAUUGAGUAGGCAAGAUGAGAUUCUGGAUUCUGAAGGGGUUCCAGGAUGAGGGGUAUUGUUUGUCAUCUGAUGUCUUAGGCCUAUGUAGGUCAGUACUCGGGUACGGGGGGUACCGCGAGCUUCAUAGAACUAUGAGAAGUAUACGUCAGAAGUUGGGGUUGAGCCGACCAUCAGUUGGGAGUGUAGUAUUCACUCGGGGGUAAGGCGAACUUCGUGACUUGUGUGUCACAAUGAGCCGGUGUAGUUAUUGUGAGAAGGGAAUUAUUAAGACAGUUAGAGUUAAUGCAAUGGAUGACCAUGGGGGUUUGACUGUUGGGCCGAGGUUAGAUCUGGUGCGCAGUGUUAAAGAGGGAUAUGGGAAUUGGAGCUGAGGCUUACGAUUGUGAUGUCUGAGAACACUUCCAAACGAGCUUGGUUAUUCCCUUGUGUCCGAGGGCAGAGUGUUAAGGAUUCUUUGUUCGGAUGGGUUCUGAUAGCGGUUUAGUGGAUAAGCCCUAGCGAGGUGUGGACCCUUCCGCUUCUUGGGGCGUGAUUCAGAUCUUUAGCAUGAUUGGUAUGAGUGAGCGGUACCUGAUUGUUGGGUUCUUGUGAAAAUUAGAGGAUCAGUGGGUUAUCGGGGUUGACAUUCGAGGAGCGAAUACCAUGGUGAUCGCUUGUGUAGGUGAUCUGGCGGCGGGUUAGGCCACUAGAGUUUCCAGAGAUUGGGAAGGAGUAUAUUAGCAGCCGGAGAGUUAGUUUAGUUUUGGACUUGGGAGUUUCUGUUUUGUUUCAGGUGUCCAUUGAGAAAGAUAUCGAUGUAGUAUGAGAUUCUGUCGGUGGUGUCUUUCGUGUUGAUGAUCUUUGUGUGGUUACAGAAUGAUAUCGAGGGUGAAAUCUAAUUCAAGUGGGGGAGAAUUGUAACAUCCGGAUUUUCAGGGUUAUUAUUUAAGUUAAUCUUAUGAUUUAAGGAAAGACUCGACGAGUUAAGGGUCAAACUCGCCGAGUCGAUUCGGGUUUCUCUCACGGGUUAUUGAGUGAACUCGACGUGUCAGAGGAGGGACUCGCCAAGUAGGCGCUAGGCAGAGGAACCCCAAUUUUCGGGGUUUGGGACCUAUUUAAAGGCACUUAUAGCCUCCUUGGCCCCUCCCCAUCAGAGUCUACGUCCCUUGAGAGAAACCCUAGGGUGAUUGGUGAUCUAGAGAAGAAAUUGGCUAAUUGGAGGUCAUUCCUUGGAAAGGAAGAGCAAGGGUCUUGCAAGGAUCUCAGAGGAGAGUUAGAGGAUCAGGUUCAUCUUCAUUGCAAGCUCCAGAUCUGGUACAAACUUUUCCCUUCUUUGUGUUUGUAUAGAUUUCCUUGGUUGAUUAAGUUAGGGCUUGAAUCACCAUUUAGAUAGGGUUGUGGGUGCAUCCAAACCCUUUUUCGAGUCAUGUGUAGAUCUGGACCUUGUGAGGUCCAGGGAACCAGAAAGUUGGCAGCCAUGAAAAAGUUGUUUGGGAGCCUUGAAGCUAUGGAGCUUCAAUGGAGUCCAAAUUGUGUAUUGAGAAAAAUACACCAUGCAUGAGCCUCAAGUUCAGACCUUUACGUGACUUUUGGGUAGUAGGAGGUUAGAUCUAUGAGUUUAGGUUGCAGAUCUGACCUCGGAUGGCUGAAUGAGCAAUCUGUUGGAGCCAACUCGCCGAGUCCAUGAGAUGACUCGACGAGUCGUAGCGGGUUUGACCGAGUAGCCUUAACCCAGUGUUGGAUCACCGAGUUAGGGGUCAACUCGACGAGCUGAGUGAGACCCGUGUAUAGUUCAGAUGAUGCAAGGGGACUCGACGAGUCGCAAGGAUGCAAUCGACGAGUAGGGUCGAGUGUGGACUGUUGACUUGAGUUGACUUUUAUUGACUUUGGAGUUUUGGUCAACAUAAGUAAUAGAGACCAUGGAGGGGUAAAAUGGUCUUUUACCCACUUCCCGAUUAGAGAGGGAAAAAGUAACUGUCGGUUUAAUUAGAGUUGAUAUUUCUAGUGUUAAUUAGAGAUAUUUGCCCUAUGUGUUAGGCGGUGGCGAGUUCGAGAUUCAAGUGUGAAGAUAACUGCUUUUUGCUUGUCAGGUGAGUCUUCUCACUAUACAUUACCUAGAGUGGUAUCUAUGUGUAGACCGGAGGGUCUUGUGUGCUAUGUGUAUGUCUAAGACUAUGUGCAUUAUGAUAUAUGUAUGCUAUGUGAUUGUGUAGACUGGACCGGAGGGUCCAACGAUAUAGACCGGACCGAAGGGUCCAACGAUACAGACUGGGCCGAAGGGUCCAACGAGCUAUGACAGGACCAGAGGGUCCAACGAGCUACGUGACUGGAGGGUCCCGCUAAGACACAUCGAUCGGAGGGUCGUACUAUAGUCUAUAGUGGCGUAUGUGGUAUUUUGGGGAACUCACUAAGCUUCGUGCUUACCGUGUUAUGUGUUAUGUGUUUCAGGUUUUUCUCAGGAUCAUGGGAUGACACCGGCUUGAUUAUACACACCAGAGGAAGAGUAAUGUUUUUGAGGAUCCUGGAUUAUUAUUUAAUUGAAUAUGUAGUUAUGUUUUGUAAUUUAAACAAAAUGAUGUUUUUACAAAAAAGUGUUUUAAGAAUUAAGCAAUUUUAAAUGAAAAUUUUUAGUUUGAAAAAUUACAGUGUUACAGAAAAAAUGUCAAGGUGAAUCGUAUAUAAUGCAACUUAGAGAUAUGAUCAAUGAAAAAAUGUCAAGGGUAAUAACUUUUUUUACUAAAAAAUAACAAUAUUAUGAUAUUAAGCAACAAAAUGGAUUGCUAUUUUUUCCAUCCAAACUAAGAGAUAUGAUCAAUGAAAGUGGUGAUGUGCUUUCAUAUUUUUUAUUUGCCAAUUUCCCAUUCUUUUAUUAAGACAUUGUAUUUCUAAACUAUAAACUUGUUUGAUUUUUGGUAUGAAUAAUACAUUUACUUUUUUCCUUUAGGACAUUGUAUUUUCAAAAUAUAACAAUGUAUAUCAUUACAGCCAGCUUGUCAUAGGAGUUCCUAAAAUAACAUAAUACCUCCUUAGCAUUUCUAGAUCUUACAUAUGGACCAUUUCCAUUUAUUCUACACUAAUACACAGGGGCCAUUUCUGUAAAUUUUUACAUUUCCUGCUAUCACACUUCUGUAAUUUUGUCUGUGCCCAACAAGAUGUAAGAACAUGGGGACUUAUUUUUGUAACUUUAGCAUCACACAGGGACAAUUUCUGUAACUUUUACAACUACUUUAAAUUAAAAGGAAUUAUAUAAGUACUUUUACAACUUUACCAUCACAUUAGUUGGACAUACAUAUCGGUUGUUUCAUAAUUUAAAUCACAUUUGUUCAAAAUUUCAUAUAUAUAUAUAUAUAGAGAGAGAGAGAGAGAGAGAGAGAGUUCCCGACAAAUGCCCUACAAUCUAGUUGCAAACGGAUCCAAUUAUCUCUCUUCUCAGGUGAAAGAGGCUUACUUUUUACUUUCAAAUAGUUAGAUCUUAUUGGUGCAUUACUUUAAGUACAUGAUAUUUAGGUACAACCUGCCCACAAAACCAGUUGGAAUUUGACUUUUUAUGCAUUGUUAUUUAAGUAUGACCGAACAACAAAACCAAUGAAAGUGCAACCUAACCACAAAACAAGUUGGAGUUUGACUUCUUUUAUGUUGUUAUUUAAGUAUGACCUAACUACAAAACCAAUGAAAGUACGACCUAACCACAAAGUCAUAUGGAAUUUGACUUCUCUAUACAUUGAUAUUUAAGUAUGACCUAACCACAAAACCAAUUGGAAUUUGACUUCUUUAUGCAUUGUUAUUUAAGUACGGCCUAACUACAAAACCAAUGAAAGUAUGACCUAACCACAAAAAAAAUUGGAAUUUGACUUCUUUAUGCAUUGUUAUUUAAGUACGACCUAACCACAAAACCAGUUGGAAUUUGACCUCUUUAUAUAUUGUUAUAUAAGUAUGACCUAACUACAAAACUAAUGAAAGUACGACCUAACCACAAAAGCAGUUAGGUUUUGACUUCUUUAUACAUUGUCAUUUAAGUAUAGCCUAAAUACAAAACCAAUGAAAGUAUGACCUAACCGCAAAACCAAUUUGAAUUUGAUUUCUUUAUGCGUUGUUAUUUAUGUACGACCUAACUACAAAACCAAUGAAAGUAUGACCUGACCACAAACUGGUUGGAAUUUGACUUCUUUAUGCAUUGUUAUUUAAGUACAACCUAACUACAAAACCAAUGAAAAUAUGACCUAACCACAAAACCAGUUGGAAUUUGACUUCUCUAUAUGUUGUUAUUCAAGUACAACCUAACAACAAAACCAAUUGCAUUUUGACUUCUUUAUACAUUGACAUUUAAGUACGGGUUAACUACAAAACCAAUGAAAGUACAACCUAACCACAAAACCAAUUGGAAUUUGACUUCUUUAUACAUUGUUAUUUAAGUAUGACCAAACUACAAAACCAAUGAAAGUGCGACCUAACCACAAAACCAAUUGGAAUUUGACUUCUUUACUCGUUGUUAUUUAAAUACGACCUAACCAUAAAACCAGUCGGAAUUUAACUUUUUUAUACAUUUUUAUUUAAGUAUGAUGUAACUACAAACCUAAUGAAAGUAAGACGUAACCACAAAAUCAAUCUUAGUAGAGAUUAAUAAGAAAACUGGAUCCUUAUGCAACUCGAUUAUAGGGGAUUUGACAGAACUACUAUAACUUGUGUGUGUAUUGAGUAUUUCACACAUACAUAAAGACCCAGAGACAGUGAUACACACUUCAGACUAAAUGUUUAAUUUUUUUUUCUCCAAACUAUAUCAAGACAAACGAAAAGCAUAAUAUAUAGUUACCUAGGGUUUGGUUUUCAAAACUAAGCAAGGAGGGGAUGGACCCCUAUUAAUAGCAUCUUCAACCACACUUUAUUUUUUGUAUGCAAAAUAAAGUUUAGAGUGGUUCAUCUCCAACCCCACGUUAACACCAUGUUCACGAGUUCAACUUAAUAAAUAAAAGAAGAAAAAUAGAUGGAAGUGAGAAGAAAGUAAAAAAAAAAAAUGGUGUUCUUGAGUUUCAUUAAUGGAAGGAAAUGAAAGGAAAACUUUCCCUCCAACUCGGGAGGACAAAAUACUAUUUUCUUGCACUUUCCUUUCACUUCUUUUCUCACUUUACUUUCUUUCCCAUCCUUUCCUUUUCUUUGCAAAAACUCAGGAACUAGGCGUAAAUUCUAUUUUACACUUUAAAAAUAGAGUUCAAAAGUAAAGUGUGUUAGAGAUCGUAUAAUUUACACUCCAAAUUUAGAGUGUAACCAGUCAUUUCUCAAUUGACAGAGUGCAAAACAAAGUUGGGUUGGAGCCUUUACUCUAUUUUACACUCUGAAUAAAAUGCUGUGGCAAAAAUAAAGUGGGAGAUGCUCUAAGUCACACACAUAGAUGUCACACCAUAAAAAUAUACAAACACCUGUGAGAGCUUCACAAUAAACAUUCACAAACAGGUGCUUUUAAUCCGUAUAUAACUCAAUCACAAAAGAUUUGGUAACAGUCUGGGUUGCGUACCUGGUUGCUAGAAGACAAUCUGGAGUGCAAAUUGCGUUUCAGUCCGUGUGUUGUUACAUAUGAGCAAAUAAACUGCAUUGUUAUAUUUAUCAAAUCAUCUUUUAGUUCUUAGACUGCAUUUAUGUUAUCACAUUUGUAAUCCUAUGGACUCAAAUCAGCCUCUUAUGGAAAAAAUAAAAAGAGGUAUUGAAAGUACCAAAUGUUAUUACAUUAUAAGAUAAAAAUCACAAAAAGAACAAAACAUAAUUGCAUGAUUAAAACUUCAAUUGAACGUAUUGUUUCAAUCAAAAUUAAAAUUCAAUAGUUUAGGGCAAUCACAAAAUGCCAUUAGUCCAUUCUUUUCUUGGUAUGUAAUUGACAAAUUGUAUGCAGCUUACAUUAUAGCCGACAAACUGUAUGCAGUUUCAGACUUUUAUUUUUUGCAAUCGAUUAAUGAGUUACAUGAAAAAAGAUUUACGCAGUUUCAGCAAAAUUCUAUGAAGUUUCAGACUUUUAUAAGUAGUCAAUACAGUCAAAACAAAUAUUAUAUAUAACUAGAAAAUAUUUAGAACGAAUCUGAUAAAACUUGUGUUUAAGUGCUUGAUUUUUAGCAAUGACUGAGAUGGGAUACUUACGAAUUUCCAGUUACCGUUGACAAUAAACUUACGAUCAUCUUCAAUUAAAAAACGCGGCUUGAAGAGAAAGGAAGCUUGAAAACUCUGAAUUUAUUAGGUAAAGUCUACGGCAGAUCACAGAUUGAAUACCUAAAAGGGGAGAGAGAUGACAGAAGGCAUUGACGACCUAAAAUAUCGGAGAGGUGGGAACCAGGAGAGAGAGAGGGGGGAAGGAGACAGACGACUAUGAGAGAGUCACUAAUUUAGGCAAUUUUUUUUUCUUUUCUCCACAACUUUAG
This 52930-nucleotide long non-coding RNA is filed under the name Lactuca sativa (garden lettuce). RNAcentral's name for it is "long non-coding RNA (LSAT_LNC000489)". The record is from RNAcentral. Lineage: Eukaryota; Viridiplantae; Streptophyta; Magnoliopsida; Asterales; Asteraceae.